UCUUAGUCCAAAAGGAAUGUCCCUUGAUACCAUAAACAAAAAAUACCAUGUCUGCUUUUUAUUCAAUAAUAAUAAUACAAAGAUGACUGAUCCAAACAAUUUUAAGCUCAAACACAAUGUUAUAAGGUAAGAUAAGAACUAAUGUCACAAUAUUACAGGUAAAUCGUUUUUUUUCUUCCUGUUUUUCAAUUUUUAUCACUAUAAUAUUUUCUAUUCCAAAUCUUUAAGAUCCUCAUCCAUUGGUAUGGUAUAGAAGAAGUGUUCAAUUUGCUCGACUGCAUUAUCCUCGCCCUGUGUCUUGUUUCCUCUCUUUAUUGGAGCUAGGCUCUCCUUGUAAUUGAAAACCCAACAGCCAGCAAUGUUAAGGUCCAGCUGAAAUCCAAGAUCUGUAACUUGUCUUGUUGUAGGGUCAUAUAGCACCAGCUGUGAAGUUUCUGUGAUCUCAAAAACCAUGUUAUCGUUAUCCCAGAUGUUGCGAGGCCAAUGAGCAUCUAUAUGAGGUUGUACAGUUAGAACUUUGGACCAAAUUCCCUCUUGUUCAUACCCACACAUCAUAUAUGGAUGUCAUAGGUUUGCCAGGGUCACCGGUUAAUAAAGCAAGUGAGUUGCCACGCAAUGUAAGCGUCCCCCAAUGUUCACUUGGAAUAUCUGGGACUUGCAUCUCCCUAAACUGUUCGCUGCCCAUGUCAAAAGAGCGAAUCGUGUAGAUCUCAUCAAGGCCCCUAGAAAGCCAAUAAUAAACCCCGUUGAGAUAAGUGGCAUCAAGGGGUGCAGAUAAGGUAGAACUGGAAGGGAAUUCAGGAGUUAGGUGUUUCCAUGAGUUGUUGCAUGAGGAAUAAACACAGGCAUAGACACGAGGACAAACACCUUGUCCCGGUUCAUCCCAGAAUACUCGAAUCCAUACAACCUUAUAAUCUUGAGUCAACAGGUCAAAUCCCAAUCCGAACUGAUGAUCAUGGUCCGAGAAAAAGUACUCAAUCUCAAAAGGCGCAGGCGGCAGAGACCUGAACUCUCUGGUGGCAGGAUUCCACAAACCCAAGCAGACAUUGUCUCCAUAAAACUUCUUCUGCACUAAGAAUAAGCCAUCAACUGGACCAGCAACACACGUGAAAUCAGCGACCCUCGGAAGCUGAAGGAGAGUUUUUUGUUCAGGGGUCACACCUGGAACAAUUUCUUCAGGGAGCAAGGAGAAUACAACAGACCUUACGAUGGCGUCUACUUCACGUGCUACUUUCAAGUUGCAAACAAGGAGACGGGCACGAUUGUUCUUGUGAUGAAAAUGUUUUUCUAUGAAACUCGGACUUUUGAUGAGAGCAUACCAGUGCUUGCACACACAUUUGAAAAGCAAGAGUGAUUCCACUGGCAAUCUCAAUAGAAUAUCAACUACUAGAUCUUCUGGUAAAGGACAGCGACCAUCCAUACUGGUGGAAAUAUAAGUAGAAUGAGGCAACUUACAAACAUAUUGAAAGAGAGCAGAUCUAGAAAACAUGCAUUAAUAGAACACACAGUGCAACAAAAAAGAUCAAGUAGUAGCAUUACCAUGUGAAGCAAAAAAGGGGAAGUUACAAAUUUGACCACUCAGCCACAAAUAUUUACAUCCGCAAGCCAUUACACAUAUAUUAUGGGUAUACAUAUUUUUAAAAAUAUUUUGACAAAUCUUCUUGUAGAUCAAUUUUGGAGAAAAGAUCCAAAAUAGUUCCUUAUGUUUGGCUUCAGACUCAAGGUCAUCCCUUCCCUUUCUUUUAUAUGGUGCACUAAUAGUCCUUUAAGUUUCAAGUAUUAGUGCACUUUUAAUCUCUUCAUUAACAUCCAUUUACUCAUUAACGUUUUGAUCCUUUACACAUCCAUUUAUGGCCUCCGCUGUAUACGUUCUGGUAUAACACAAAUUAAUUCUUAGAUUUAUCUUAGCAGUUGCAGAUGAGUCUUCAUUUGUACUUGUUUUAUUUUUUGGCUCUGCAUCUUUCAUUGUUUGGUGUGCACCAUUCAAGAUUUGCUAAUUCUUUAACUUUCUCCUCUAUUUUCCAUACGCAAUUAAUAAGCUGACUAUAAGUCUUUGGGUUUUCCUGAAUAAAAGCUGACUAUAUAUCUGAAACAUAACCAAAGAAUAAAAUAAAAACAAGAAAAAAGGAAAAAUAUAAUACAUACUUAGUCUUCGUGUAUCAAUAUCUCAAAUUAGCAUCGGAUAAAAGUGCACUAAUACUUAAAACUUUGGAGGACUAUUAGUGCACCAAUUGAUGAUUUCGAAUCUAAAGCCAAAAAUAAAGGACUAUCUUGUAUUUUUUCUUUCGAUUUGGGCUGAUAUGGUUUGGACGGAUCAAUAAUCAGCCAAAUAGAGUCAAUAAGAGGAGACUAGUAAAGAAGUAGUCAUGCGGUUUUCUAGUCUUUUCAUUAACUAGUCAAUAAUUAUUUUUAAAGCUACAUAUCAAGUUAGCAUAUAGAGCAAUUUUGCAGGUAAUUUAAGGAUUAAGGAGCAUGAAACAGUAAUUACCCUUUUCUACUAAUAUCAAUCUACAAAUCCUUGGAAAUGGAACAAUUUUAACUUGCCCAAUAUUGAAAUGUAAAAGAUGGAAAGAAAUAAAAAGAAUUAGCAUAAACAGAAACAAUGACAGCAAAACCCUAUAUCCAUCCCCAAAUAGCACAAAUUCAGAUUCAGAUUCAGAUUCAAAUUCAAAAAAAUAAUCAGAAAUCUAACCUUAUAAGCUGAUGAAGAAGAAGUGCCGCAAUUACGACAAGGUAAAAAUGGAAAAAGAGAUUGGAUUGAUUGAGUGGUGUUGUAGAAAUACCUCCAACAGUUGACUACUUCCUCACUUUCCUACACUUCUUUUGUCAUUUUAGUUUAUAUAACUCCCCUUAAUUCCUUUUAUCCAAGUUUUUAAUACCAAGGGAUAUGAUGGAGUAAUAAGUACUUAUUCAUUGUUAAUUAGAGGUCUUGGAUUUGAAUCUUUUGGCUAUGAAGUCAUCCGUGUUAGGGAGCACUUUACCCAUAAUGUGAGAUUUUUCGACUGGGCUCUAAUAUGGAUACCGAACAUUGAGCGAUUUUUCUUUUUUUACCUUAGUGGUCAUUUGGUAGGUGGAUAAAGCUACAUCUAAUACAUGAAUCACUACAAGAAAAGUGCUGAUUACCUGGGAAUUAUUGUAGAGAAUAUAUGAUAACCCUAAUGGGUGGAGGGAGGACCAAUUUAUAGAGGUUAUGAUUUAAUCUGGUAUAUCCAUCAAGUAACCAAUGUACGGACGAGAUCUAUUCCUUAUUAAAUAUUAUUUAUGGUAUUACUUGCGUUACUAGUAAACUUGAGCCAUAAGUAAGAAAUAAUUAAUAAUAAUUAAUAAUAAUUCUUACACUUCGGGGUGCCUUCGCCAUAGUUCAAGUCUGGAGUCGGCCAUUUCAGUUCUUGAAAGCUUUUAAUCUAGCUAGUGUUAUUCAUAGUACUUCCGUGUACUUAUCGACCUUAUGUGAGUCCAAACUCGUUUGAGUUAUACAUUUACUUUCUAAUUGUGCACGAGUAUACAUACUUUCUAGGCUUAUAGAGGUCCAGUUAGGUUAUAGAUUAUUGCUUUACUUUACUACUUCGUUCUUUUCAGACUCGUGAGCUAUAUAGUUAGACUUUCCGUUAUUGCUUUGUUCAUUUGACCUCUAAUUACUGUUACUUUCAUAUUCUUCAUAUUGUUUUUACUUUCCAAGUUCAGUUGACCUAUGAUGCCUACUGGACACCUGUUGUUCUGAUAUUCAUGCUACACUCCACAUCUGUUUUCUUGAUGUGGAUUUGAGCGCCAGCCGACAACGGUGAUUGGAGCCUAAGUAAUGCGGAGAUCUUCUGAGAUGAAUGGUGAGCUAAUGGCGUCCUAGUUCGACUUAUCUCCAUAUGUAUAUAAUUUUUUACAUGUCUUUUGUAUUCGAGACAAAUUUAUUAAGUUAGUCAAUAGCAUAGGCUCGAAACUAUGACUAGAACAUUGAGUGCAUGACAUGCACAUCUUACUCCUUACUUUCCUUAUUCGUGCCUGUUUUUUUCAUACUUUCUAACUUUCACUAGUACAUUAUCCCUUGUUAAGGAAAAUUAUGUAAACAAAAUAGUAAAUGGCCUGAUCCACUUAAGAGUGAGGGCUAGUUCAUUGAUUGAUACAGCUAAAUCACAUUAAAUAAUAAAUACGGAGGAGGGCCUAAAAUACCCUUCAAGUAUAGGUAAUGGAACAAAAAUACCCUCUUCCACCUUUAGGCUCCAAAAUACCCUUCCAUCCAUCUAUAUGGACCUAUAUUACCCUUUCACUUAACAGAUUCUUUAAGACUAAUAAUUAAUCUUUUCAUUAAUGAUGUGACAGUCUUUAAUUGGUUGAAAUUGGAAUUAACCAAAAUAAGAAUUUCUCUUAAUUAAACCCAGAUCCAACUAAAUUCCACCCGACUCACUUAAAAUUCUAUUGACCCAUAUCUUAAAUAAUCAAACUUCAAUCAACAACUUGCUCCAGUUAUUUUUAAUCCCAGUCAAAAAAGAGGUACAUUAGACCAUAAACAACAUGAAACUUCCGAAAAUUCCCUGGAAACAUUCCAAGAAGGAAGAAGUGAAAUACAAGAUCAAGUGCCACUAUAAUCAUAUACCAAUAUACACCAUAUUUUGAAACACUAUGAAAAGUCCAGCAAAUCUCCAAUCUCUGGGAAACAUAAACUCAAAGCGGUAAAAUUUCUCAAAAUCCGAAACCCUAGAGUUCAAAAAUUAUUUCACUUCUUUCUUUUUUGCGAUUCAUAUAAAGCACCGCACGCAAAAAGCAAAACCAACAUAAUUUUGGGAAAUUCUCAAAGCAGAAUCAUGGAAUAGAAUAUAAAAAAAAAAUAAAAAAUUUAGCCAUAGCAAGAGAUUAUAUACUUGAUGAAGAAAAGCGAUAGAUAUCGCUUUUCUUCAUCUGCAAAUUUUACGAGAAAAUUAUAUGGAGAGAAAUUCAGUGUACAGAGAAAAAAAAGGAAACUCACCGCUACACACUCGAUUCUUCUUGUUUUUUUUUAAAGAUAUGGGUCAGUAAAAUUUUACGUGGGUUGGGUAGAGUUUAGUUGGAUCCGGGUUUGAUUUGGAGAAAUUAUUGUUUUUGCUUAAUCUAAAUUCCAGCCAAUUAAAGAUUGUCACAUCAUUAAUGAAAAGAUUAAUUAUUACUCAUAAAAAAUCUGUUAAGUGAAAGGGUAAUAUAGGUCCAUAUAGAUGGAUGAAAGGGUAUUUUUGAGCCCAAAGGUGGAUGGAGGGUAUUUUUGUUCCAUUCCCUAUACUUGAAGGGUAUGUUAGGCCCUUCUCCGUAAUAUAUAUUACAUUUUUGAACUGUUAAACUAGAAACAAGAUUUAGGAUUUUUCAAGUGGACCAAAAUACAGAUAUUGAUGCCGAGUACUUAAAGUCUGUUGCUUGCCGAUACUCUAAAAGUAGUAGUGUAUUUUUGGAGAAUCUAACAUGAGUGGAGAGUACACGCGCAACUUAGCUUAAAUUGUGUUGGUCCAAAAGGAAUGCCCCUUGAUACCAUAAACAAAAAAUACCAUGUCAGCUUUUUAUUCAAUAAUAGUACAAAGAUGACUGAUCCAAACAAUUUUAAGCUCAAACACAAUGUUAUAAGAAGACAAGAUACGAACUAAUGUCACAAUAUUACAGGUAAAUCGUUUUUUUUUCUUCCUGUUUUUCAAUUAUUAUCAUUAUAGUAUUUUGUAUUCCAAAUCUUAACGAUACUCAUCCAUUGGUAUGGUAUAGAAGAAGUGUUCAAUUUGCUCGACCUCGCCCUGUGUCUCGUUUCCUCUCUUUAUUGGAGCUAGGCUCUCCUUGUAAUUGAAAACCCAACAGCCAGCAAUGUUAAGGUCCAGGUGAAAUCCAAGAUCUGUAACUUGUCUUGUUUUAGGGUCAUAUCGCACCAGCUGUGAAGUUUCUGUGAUCUCGAAAACCAUCUUAUCAUUAUCCAAGAUGUUGCGAGGCCAAUGAGCAUCUAUAUGAGGUUGUACAGUUAGAACUUUGGACCAAUUUCUGUCUUGUUUCAUUACCCACACAUCGUAUAUGGAUGUCAUUGGUUUACCAGGGUCUCCGGUUAACAUAGCAAGUGAGCCGCCAUGCAAUGUAAGUGUCCCCCAAUGUUCACUUGGAAUAUCUGGGACUUGCAUCUCCCCAAACUGUUCGCUGCCCAUGUCAAAAGAGCGAAUCGUGUAGAUCUCAUCAAGGCCCCUACAAAGCCAAUAAUAAACCCCGUUGAGAUAAGUGGCGUCAAGGGGUGCAGAUAAGGUAGAACUGGGAGGGAAUUCAGGAGUAAGGUAUUUCCAUGAAUUGUUGCAUGAGGAAUAGACACAGGCAUAGACACGAUUAUUAGCACCUUGUCCCAGUUCAUCCCAGAACACUCGAAUCCAUACAACCUUAUAAUCUAGAGUCAACAGGUCAAAUCCCAAUCCGAACUGAUGAUCAUGGUCCGAGAAAAAGUACUCAAUCACAAAAGGCGCAGGAGGCAGAGACCUGAACUCUCUGGUGGCAGGAUUCCACAAACCCAAGCAGACAUUGUAUCCAUAAAACUUCUUCUGCACUAAGAAUAAGCCAUUAACUGGACCAGCAACACACGUGAAAUCAGUGAUCCGAAGCUGAAGGAGAGUUUUUUGUUCAGGGGUCACACCUGGAACAAUUUCUUCAGGGAGCAAGGAGAAUACAACAGACCUUACGAUGGGGUGUACACGUGCUACUUUCAAGAUGCAAACAAGGAGGCGGGCACAAUUAUUCUUGUGAUGAAAAUGUUUUUCUAUGAAACUCGGACUUUUGAUGAGAGCAUACCAGUGCUUGCACACACAUUUGAAACGCAAGAGUGAUUCCACUGGCAAUCUCAAUAGAAUAUCAACUACUAGAUCUUCUGGUAAAGGACGGCGACCAUCCAUACUGGUGGAAAUAUAAGUAGAAUGAGGCAACUUACAAACAUAUUGAAAUAGAAUAGAUCUAGAAAACAUGCAUUAAUAGAACACACAGUGCAACGAAGAAGAUCAAGCAGCAGCAUUACCAAUGUGAAGCAAAAAAGGGGAAGUUACACAUUUGACCACUCGGCCACAAAUAUUUAUAUCCGCAAGCCAAUACACAUAUUAUGGGUAAACAUAUUUUUAAAAAUAUUUUGACAAAAUUUCUUGUAGAUCAAUUUGGGAGAAAAGAUCCAAAAUAGUUCUUUAUGUUUGGCUUCAGACUCAAAGUCAUCCCUUCCCUUUCUUUUAUAUGGUGCACUAAUAGUCCUUUAAGUUUCAAGUGUUAGUGCACUUCUAGUCUCUUGAUUAACAUCCAUUUACUCAUUAACGUUUUGAUCCUUUACACAUCCAUUUAUGGCCUCCGCUGUAUACAUUCUGGUACAAAACAAAUUAAUUCUUAGAUUUAUCUUAGCAAUUGCAGAUGAGUCUUCAUUUGUACUUCGUUUUAUAUUUUGGCUCUGCAUCUUUCAUUGUUUGGUGUGCAGUAUUCAAGAUUUGCUAAUUCUUUAACUUUCUCCUUUAUUUUCGAUACACAAUUAAUAAGCUGACUAAGUCUUUGGGUUUUUCCUGAAUAAAAGUUUCUUGCGCUUUGCCUAUAUAUCUGGAGCAUAACCAAAGAAUAAAUAAAAACAAGAAAAAAGGAAAAAUAUAAUACAUACUUAGUCUUCGUGUAUCAAUAUCUCAAAUUAGCAUCGGAUAAAGGGUGUGUUCCGUAGAAAAUAGUUUCUAAUCAAAAUUUUUGGAAAAGAUUUUCUUAGGAAAACAAGUUCCAUACGUGACACUUCAAAAUUCAAAUGAAGAAAAUGACUUUCUAAAGGAAGUAGGGAAAACAAGUUUCAUAUGUGACAUUUCAAUUGAGUAUGUCCUCCCACUCUCUAAGACACCACAUAUUCACCUCACUCCCGUAGCUUCCAUACCCACUACCCUACACAUCUACCCCACCUCCGUCCCUCAUAGUAUUGUCUAGAUAAUACAUAAAUGCUUUUAGAAUAAUAUUAAAUUUUUUUUGCUUAUAUACCAAACACAAAAUAUACAUAAGAAUCUCACUUAUUUUCCUAGAAAAUAUUUUUCAAAAAAUAUUUUCCUUGGUACCGUACACACCCAAAGUUCCAAUGUCCUCGGAUAAUAUCAGCCAAAUAGAGUCAAUAAGAGGAGACUAGUAAAGAAGUAGUCAUGUGGUUUUCUAGUCUUUUCAUUAACUAGUCAAUAAUUAUUUUUGAGCUACAAAUCAAAUUAGCAUAUAGAGCAAUUUUGCAGGUAAUUUAAGGAGCAUGAAACAGUAAAUACCCUUUUCUGCUAAUAUCAAUCUACAAAUCCUUGGAAAUGGAACAAUUUUAACUUACCCAAUAUUGAAAUGUAAAAGAUGGAAAGAAGUAAAAAGAAUUAGCAUAAACAGAAACAAUGGCAGCAAAACCCUAUAUCCAUCCCCAAACAGCACAAAUUCAGAUUCAGAUUCAAAUUCAAAAUAAUAAUCAGAAAUCUAACCUUAUAAGCUGAUGAAGAAGAAGUGGCGGACAAGGAAAAAAUGGAAAAAGAGAUAUCGGAUCGAUUGAUUGGUGUUGUAGAAAUACCUCAACAGUUGACUACUUCCUCACACUUCUUUCGUCAUUUUAUUUUACUACUUCUUGGGAACGCGUUUGUUCCUCUCCUUUUUUUUUCUCGCGUGUGUUCCUUAUUAUUAUUAAAUUUUUAUAUACUAAAAAGUUGAGUUAUAAAAUAGAAAAUGCUGAAAUUAACAAUAGUAGUUUUAUCAUUUAUAUUUUAUUUACUAAAUAAUAAAAAAUAUAUACUGGAGCAUUUUUUGUUAACCUUCAUUUGUUGUUUCUCACUCUCUUUUCUUCUCAUGUUGAAAUUUGAUUGUGCAAUUACCUUCCUAUGAUAACAUCAAUCUUUGUGAAAUUGGUUCUUAAAAAGCAAAUUCAAAUUUUAAUUUUGGAAGUGUUUUUACAUAAUAGUGGAGAAUGAUUCUUCAUAUUCAACUUUUAAUUUUGAAUUGUAAUGAACAAUUACUAUUCAAAUACAAAUCUAGUUUAUUUUUAACCUUACAUUUAUUGAAUCUUUAAUGUGUACGUUAAUGAUAUAUAAUAAUUUAUUAAUUAGGUAUUUGAUUUAGUGUAGGGGCAAAAUGGUAAUUCAACUAUACACUUUCGAGUUUUCACUUUUAAUAAGUAAUUAUAAUAUAUACAAAAGAUUAAACCAUUUGAUAUUAAAAAAAUAUAUGUAUGAGUAAUAAUUAACAUUCAAUGGCAAAAGAAUGUAUCACAUUCUCAUAAACAAUAUCUCUAAGGCAAAAGUAGACAUUCUAAUUUGGACAAUUACUACUUAACUACUUAUGGGUUCAGCCAAUAAUCUGGAGAUAGGAGUUUGACAAUUUUUCAGCCAUAGUUAAAAUUCUACAUCAAUAAUAAAUAGCUUCUUAUCACAGUAAAUAGACAUUUGAAUAAUUAAUAUAAAUUGAGCAACACAAACUUUUCAAAAUGACUUAUUCUAGAUAUAUAAUAGGGAAAAGGGUCAAAAUUACCCCUCAGUUUUGUUUUAUUGGUUAACUUUAUCCUUACCAUUAAAAACAAGUUAUUUUUACCCCUGUCGUCAAUAAACUUAACAAAUAUACCCCUCCUUGAACGGAAACCCCCAAAUCAAUUGAAAUUACCCGAUUUUAAUUGAAAUUAUCCAAUUUCUUUUUUAACCCGAACUAGAACCCAACCCACUAAACUAAACAAAUUAACCCAUUUCCAAUCUUCUUCAUCUCAGUGUUCUUGGCUAAGUACCCUAAGAACACUCACAAUCUUUAUCAUAGCUAACACAUAAAUCCUACAUUGUCUGACAAAAUCAAUUGAAAAGGUUCGUUGGUUGAAUGUAUAACAAGUAAAUUAUUUUUGCUGAACAACAUCCCGCCUCUCUCUGUUGUGGGGUUCAGCGAAGAACAAGCCACAGAGCAAGUAAAUGGAAAAGUUUCAAUUUACACAUCAUCAUUCAAUCCAAUGAAGAAAACCAUUUCUAGGUACCAACCAAAUUACUUUUUGAUUUGUUGUCAGUAGGCUGCCCCUAAAUGUGUACCCAAUAGUACAUCUAAUUCUUCUUUACCUGGCUCGUAAAUCAAUUCAGUGGCCCUCCAUGAUUCUUGUAUGUGCACGUAAAAUUAAGCUACAAUGGAGGGGAGGUUUUUCUUUUCUCUAUCUUUUUAUUUGUUCAAAAUGUUUCCAAUAUAUCAUCAUAUUUGAUGAGUACUGGAUAUUUGAUGAUUACUGAUUUCUUGUAUGUAGCAAAUCAUGUGAUUGAACGACUGCAGUGUUUAGCCUAGGCAACCUUCAACAAACAAUUUGGAGAUAAAUAUCAGGUCUUUUCGAUUGAUUUUGUUAGACAAUGUAGAAUUUGUGUUAGCUAUGAUAAAGAUUGUGAGUGUUCUUAGGGUACUUAGCCAUGAACACUGAGAUGAAGAAGAUUGGAAAUGGGUUUAUUUGUUUAGUUUAGUGGGUUGGGUUCUGGUUCAGGUUAAAAAAGAAAUUGGAUAAUUUCAAUUAAAAUUGAAUAAUUUCAAUUGAUUUGGGGAUUUCCGUCCAAGGAGGGAUAUAUUUGUUAAGUUUAUUGACGGCAGGGGUAAAAAUAACUUGCUUUUAACGGUAAGAGUAAAAUCAACCAAUAAAAUAAAGUUGAUGGGUAAUUUUGACCCUUUUCUCUAUAUAACAUAUAUGGACAAUUUGAGGAAUGAAUGUUUCAACACAUGAAUAAUAGACUAAUAAGGUCAAUAGAUUAUACAUAUAAAUGAAAAGUUAAAUAAAAAUACAGCCUCAAAAUCACAUACUAUGAUCCAUCAUUUAUCUCCAAUUCGGUGGCCCAGUUUAUUUUAGGGUAUGGAUUCUUUUAUUUUUAAAAAAAAAACAUAUUUGAUUUUUCUCAUUUAGUUAUUCCUCUCCCUACUCAUAAAUAAUAAUCUCGAAAAAAUAUUUUUACUAAAGUAGAACACUCUAUCAAGAGCCAAAUAAACAUAUCAAAUUAACUAAUUAAUCUUUCAUCAAUUAUUGAUAGAACAUGAAUUGUAUAUCACUACUUUCUUCAUGUAGGAUACAAGAUAUUUCAAUAGAAAAACAAAAUCAUAAGAAAGCAUAUCAAAAUAUAAAAAAAGGACAUAUAAAAUACUUUGGCUGGACAAGGAGGAGCGGAUAAAAACAAAAGGAAAUUACUGCACAUACAAAAUGAUGAGCAAGAUUAGUUUUUUGCAGGAUAGUCUCUCAUCCUCCUCUUAUCAUUUACAUGAAAACCAUGCUAGGCAUUUUAUAGCAAUAGCUAGGAUGACCUUUGAGUAGAUAAUUAAUUUGCAUUAAUUUAGUUUAAUGAUUUUAGUCCAUAUCAAAUUUAUUUAAUGGAAAACUCUUCAAAUACUCUUGAUUUUACAGAAAAAGAGAAAUUGACUAUUAAUGUGAAUUUGAUUCAUGUACCAAUUUAAAUGAGUUUAAUCUAAGGAAGUGAAAAAAUCAUUAACAUUUUUAUUAAAACGAUACAAUUUAAUAUUUAAAUUAAAUAGUUAAAUAUUUUAUAACAUUUUAAUUUAUAAUAGGGGUAAAACGGUAAUUCAACUUUUAACUUUUUUUAUUCCCGCUUAUAGUAAUAUAUGAUACAACUCCUCUUAAUUCCUUUUAUCUAAGUUUUUAAUUAUGUGGUGGAGUAAUAAGUACUUAUUCAUUCUUAAUUAGAGGUUCCAGUUUGAGUCUUUUUGGCUAUAAAAUCAUCUCUGUUAGAGCGCUUUACCCAUAAUCUAAGAUUUUUCGACACAAAUUCAAAUUUAGUGAGGCUCUAAUAUGGAUAUCGAACACUGAGGGGAAAAUAAAAAUAAAAAUUACCUUAGGGGUUAUUUGGUAGGUGGAUAAAGCUACAUCUAAUACAUGAAUAACAAAGUUAUUUAUGUAUUUAAUUUAUAUAAUGUUUGUAUAAAAGUUAUUCAUAUAUUAACAAAGAUGUUUCUCUCUACGAUAUGUUCCCACAGGAGAAAGAGUUUGUUACUUGAAGAGGGGGGGGGGGGAUGUUGNNNNNNNNNNNNNNNNNNNNNNNNNNNNNNNNNNNNNNNNNNNNNNNNNNNNNNNNNNNNNNNNNNNNNNNNNNNNNNNNNNNNNNNNNNGAAGGGGGGGGGGGGGUAUUUGGAGUCUUUUAGCCACAGUUCGAAGCCCUGACAUAUCGAUCUCUUUUAGCCACGGUUCAAGGUCCCAACGUAUUUUGUUUUGCCACGGUUCAAGGUCCCGACGUAUUUUAUUUUGCCACGGUUCGAGGCCCCAUCAUAUCUCUAUUCGCCUUGGUUCGAAUCCUAACAUGUGGUUCAUUUGGGUUCUUCGGGGUGCCUUCACCAAAGUUCAAGUCUAGAGUCAGCCAUUUUAAGUUCUUGAAAGCUUUUAAUAUAACUAGUGUUAUUCAUAGUACUUCUGUGUACUUAUCAGGCUUAUGUGAGUCCAAACUCGUUUGAGUUAUUUACUUUCCAAUUGCGCACAGGUAUACAUACUUUCUGGGCUUAUAGGGGUCCAGUUAGGUUAUAGAUAAUUGUUUUACUUUACUACUUUGUUCUUUCCAGACUCGUGAGCUAUAUAGUUAGACUUUCCGUUAUUACUUUGUUCAUUUGACCUCUAAUUACCGUUACAUUCAUAUUUUUCAUAUUGUUUUUACUUUCCAUGCCCAGUCGACCUAUGAUGCUACUGGGCACCUGUUGUUUUGAUAUUAUGCUACACUCCACAUCUGUUUUCUUGAUGUAGAUUUGAGCGCCAGCUGAUAAUGGUGAUUCGAGCCUAAGAAAUGCGGAGAUCUUCUGAGAUGAAGGGUGAGCUGAUGGCAUCCUAGUUCGACUUAUCUCCAUAUGUAUAUAGUUUUUUAAUGUCUUUUGUAUUCGAGACAAGUCUAUUAAGUUAGUGAAUAGCAUAGGCUCGAAACUAUGACUAGAACAUUGAGUGCAUGACAUGCACAUCUUACUCCUUAUUUUCCCUAUUCGUACCUGUUUUUUUCAUACUUUCUAACUUCACUGGUACAUUAUUCCUUGUUAAGGAAAAUUAUGUAAACAACUAGUUCUUUGAUUGAUACAACUAAUUCACAUUAAAUAAUAACUAGAAUCUUAUUACAUUUUUGAACUGUUAAACUAGAAACAAGAUUUAGGAUAAGGGAACUAUUUAUUAACUUCACUUCUCCUUAUUAGUGUCAAAAGUUUCUCGUUUAGGAAAUAUGAAGUUUUGAAGGACUAAUAGUAUAUUAUCCUUUUUUAAAAUUGAACUCUAUCCAAUGGUUGAUUCUAUUUAUGAAUCAAUUCCUUAGGUGCAUUAUUUCCAUAGGUUUCAACAUUGGUAACAAAAUCUAGCUUUCUCGCUUAAAUUGACAUAUUUCUAUACUUCCCUCAUCUUAUCUAUCACUGAGGCCGCUCCCAUCUUAUCCCUUAUAUCCUUAUUUAUAAUUUUUAUCGCUCCGAGUAUGAACGUGCAUCCACCUCAAUAUAUAUUCACAUCUCUGCAACAUGCAUCUUCUAGACAUGGGACUUGACUGGCCAACUCUCAUUUCCAUACAACAAUUACAUACACACUCUAUAUAAAUACACACAUACAUAUAUUGAUGGAAAAAUCAUCAACAGAUGAAACUUAAGCAAUACUCCCUCCAUCUCAAUUAAUGUGACAGUCGGAAUUUUGUCUUUUAAAUUGUUAAUUAUUGUGAUUUACCAUUUUUCACAUAAUUUUCAAAUACAUAAAUUUUAUAUCAAAAAAACUUAAAGUUUCUGUAUCCGAAUUUACUAUUAAAUUAUAGAAGUUUGAAUCUCAAAAUUUCAACUAAUGCCACAUAAAUUAAAUCAACUCCAACACUCAGAAAAGCUACAAAAGUUCAAACAUAGAAAGUAAAAAAAAAUUUAAAAAAGAAAUAGAAAAAACCUUGAGAUAAUAUGUCUUGCUAAUUUCCUCUUCAGAUGCUAAUUAAAGGACUUACACCAAGAACAUCAUAAUACUCUGUGUCUUUCACCAUUUUCUUUUCUUUUUCCAAAAUCCCUAUUAACAAAAAAUUUACUCUUUUACCUCCUCCAAUACUCUAAUUACCUUUUUUUUCGCGCUUCUAAAAUCUUAAUACAAGAGCGAAAAACCACUUGAGUGUAAGGAAAGGAAACAAGCCAAACGAAAAAAAAAAAAAAAACUCUCAAAAUUAUAUGAUCAAGAAAACUUGCAAGUACAAAAGGAGAAAGAGGAGGGGGUGGGUGGGGUAUGAUGAAAAGAAUGUCUCAGAAUAAGAGAGUGCCCCAACGAGACAAAGCUGCCUUUCCAGUUCUGAUCAACAAAUUAAUUACGGAAAAUCUGUUGCUUGUCGAUACUCUAAAAGCAGUGUAUUUUUGGAAUUAAGAGGAGUUGUAUAAACUAAAAUGACAAAAGAAGUGUAGGAAAGUGAGGAAGUAGUCAACUGUUGAGGUAUUUCAACAACACCACUCAAUCAAUCCAAUAUCUCUUUUUCCAUUUUUACCUUGUCGUAAUUGCGGCACUUCUUCUUCAUCAGCUUAUAAGGUUAGAUUUCUGAUUAUUUUUUUGAAUCUGAAUCUGAAUCUGAAUUUGUGCUAUUUGGGGAUGGAUAUAGGGUUUUGCUGCCAUUGUUUCUGUUUAUGCUAAUUUUUUUUAUUUCUUUCCAUCUUUUACAUUUCAAUAUUGGGUAAGUUAAAAUUGUUUCUUUUCCAAGGAUUUGUAUAUUGAUAUUAGUAGAAAAGGGUAAUUACUGUUUCAUGCUCCUUAAAUUACCUGCAAAAUUGUUCUAUAUGCUAACUUGAUAUGUAGCUCAAAAAUACCUAUUGACUAGUUAAUGAAAAGUCUAGAAAACCACAUGACUACUUCUUUACUAGUCUCCUCUUAUUGACUCUAUUUGGCUGAUUAUUGAUCCGUCCAACCCAUUUCAACCCAAAUCGAAAGAAAAAAUCCAAGAUAGUCCUUUAUUUUUGGCUUUAGAUUCGAAAUCAUCAAUUGAUGCACUAAUAGUCCUCCAAAGUUUUAAGUAUUAGUGCACUUUUAUCUGAUGCUAAUUUGAGAUAUUGAUACACGAAGACUAAGUAUGUAUUAUAUUUUUCCUUUUUUCUUGUUUUUAUUUUAUUCUUUGGUUAUGCUCCAGAUAUAUAGGCAAAGCACAAGAAACUUUUAUUCCGGAAAAACCCAAAGACUUAUAGUCAGCUUAUUAAUUGCUUAUGGAAAAUAGAAGAGAAAGUUAAAGAAUUAGCAAAUUUUGAAUGGUGCACACCAAACAUUGAAGAUGCAGAGCCAAAAAAUAAAACAAGUACAAAUGAAGACUCAUCUGCAAUUGCUAAGAUAAAUCUAACAAUUAAUAUGUUUUGUACCAGAACGUAGACAGUGGAGGUUAUAAAUGGGUGUGUAAAGGAUCAAAACGUUAAUGAGUAAAUGGAUGUUAAUGAAGAGACUAAAAAUGCACUGACACUUGAAACUUAAAGAACUAUUAGUGCACUAUAUAAAAGAAAGGGAAGGGAUGACUUUGAGUCUGAAGCCAAACAUAAGGAACUAUUUUGAAUCUUUUCCAAACAAUGUUAAGCUCAAACACAAUGUUAUAAAAAGGUAAGAUAAGAACUAAUGUCACAAUAUUACAGGUAAAUCGUUUUUUUUUCCUGUUUUUCAAUUUUUAUCACUAUAAUAUUCUGUAUGUCAAACUCUAAGAUCCUCAUCCAUUGGUAUGGUAUAGAAGUAGUGUUCAAUUUGCUCGACUGCAUUAUCCUCACCCUGAGUCUCGUUUCCUCUCUUUAUUGGAACUAGGCUCUCCUUGUAAUUGAAAACCCAACAGCCAGAAAAGAUAAGGUCCAGCUGAAAUCCAAGAUCUGUAACUUGUCUUGUUUCAGGGUUAUAUAGCACUAGCUGUGAAGUUUCUGUGAUCUCGAAAACCAUCUUAUCGUUAUCCCAGAUGUUGUAAGGCCAAUGAGCAUCUAUAUGAGGUUGAAGAGUAAGAACUUUGGACCAAUUUCCCCCUUGUUUCAUUACCCACACAUCGUAUAUGGAUGUCAUUGGUUUGCCAGGGUCACCGGUUAAUAUAGCAAGUGAGCCGCCAUGCAAUGUAAGCUUCCCCCAAUGUUCACUUGGAAUAUCUGGGACUUGCAUCUCCCCAAACUGUUCGCUGCCCAUGUCAAAAGAGUGAAUCGUGUAGAUGUCAUCAAGGCCCAUAGAAAGCCCAUAAUAAACCCCGUUGAGAUAAGUGGCGUCAAGGGGUGCAGAUAAGGUAGAACUGGGAGGGAAUUCAGGAGUAAGGUGUUUCCAUGAAUUGUUGCAUGAGGAAUAGACAUAGGCAUAGACACGAUUAUUAGCACCUUGUCCCGGUUCAUCCCAGAACACUCGAAUCCAUACAACCUUAAAAUCUUGAGUCAACAGGUCAAAUCCCAAUCCGAACUGAUGAUCAUGGUUCGGGAAAAAGGCCUCAAUCUCAAUAGGCGCAGGAGGCAGAGACCUGAACUCUCUAGUGGCAGGAUUCCACAAACCCAAGCAGAUAUCGUCUCCAAACUUCUUCUGCACUAAGAAUAAGCGAUCAACUGGACCAGCAAGACACGUGAAAUCAGUGAUCCUCGGAAGCUGAAGGAGAGUUUUUUGUUCAGGGGUCACACCUGGAACAAUUUCUUCAGGGAGCAAGGAGAAUACAACAGACCUUACGAUGGGGAGUACUUCACAUGCUACUUUCAAGUUGCAAACAAGGAGACGGGCACAAUUGUUCUUGUGAUGAAAAUGUUUUUCUAUGAAACUCGAACUUUUGAUGAGAGCAUACUAGUGCUUGCACACACAUUUGAAACACAAGAGUGAUUCCACUGGCAAUCUCAAUAGAAUAUCAACUACUAGAUCUUUUGGUAAAGGACGGCGACCAUCCAUACUAGUGGAAAUAUAAGUAAAAUGAGACAACUUACAAACAUAUUGAAAGAGAACAGAUCUAGAAACAUGCUUUAAUAGAACACGCAGUGCAACGAAGAAGAUCAAGCAGCAUCAUUACCAUGUGAAACAAAAAAGGGGAAGUUGCACAUUUGAUCACUCAGCCACAAAUAUUUACAUCAGCAAGCCAAUACACAUAUAUUAUGGGUAUACAUAUUUUUAAAAAUAUUUUGACAAUUUCUUGUAGAUCAAUUUGGGAGAAAAGAUCCAAAAUAGUUCCUCAUGUUUGGCUUCAGACUCAAAGGAUGGAGUAAUAAGUACUUAUUCAUUGUUAAUUAGAGUUCUCGGGUUUGAGUCUUUUUGGCUAUGAAGUCAUCUGUGUUAGGGAGCGCUUUACCCACAAUGUGAGAUUAUUCAGCACAAAUUCAAAUUUAGUGGGGGAUCUAAUAUGGAUACCAAACACCGAGUGGAAAACCAAAAAUAAAAAUAAAAAUGACCUUAGGGGUCAUUUGAUAGGUGGAUAAAGCUACAUUUAAUACAUGAAUAACAAAGUUAUUUAUGUAUUUAAUUUAUAUAAUAUUUUGUUUGUAAAAUGUUGUAUAAAAGUUAUUCGUGUAUUAACAAAGAUGUUUAUCUCUACGAUAUGUUCCCGCAGGAGAAAGAGUUUGUUAUUUGAAGAGGGGGGGGGGGUAUUUGGAGUCUUUUAGCCACAGUUCGAAGCCCUGGCGUAUCUCUUUUAGCCACGGUUCAAGGCCCCAACAUAUUUUUUUGGCACGGUUCGAGGCCCCAACAUAUCUCUAUUCGCCUUGGUUUGAAUCCUAACAUGUGGUUCAUUUGGGUUCUUCGGGUGCCUUCGCCAUAAUUCAAGUCUGGAGUCGGCCAUUUCAGUUCUUGAAAGCUUUUAAUCUAGCUAAUGUUAUUCAUAGUACUUCCGUGUACUUAUCGGACUUAUGUGAGUCCAAACUUGUUUGAGUUAUAUAUUUACUUUCUAAUUGUGCACGAGUAUACAUACUUUCUGGGCUUAUAGAGGUCCAAUUAGGUUAUAGAUUAUUGCUUUACUUUACUACUUUGUUCUUUUUAGACUCGUGAGCUAUAUAGUUAGACUUUCCGUUAUUGCUUUGUUCAUUUGACCUCUAAUUAUUGUUACUUUCAUAUUCUUCAUAUUGUUUUUACUUUCCAAGCUCAGUCGACCUAUGAUGCCUACUGGGCACCUGUUGUUCUGAUAUUCAUGCUACACUCCACAUCUGCUUUCUUGAUGUAGAUUUGAGCGCCUGCCGACAACAGUGAUUCGAGCCUAAGUAAUGCGGAGAUCUUCUGAGAUGAAGGGUGACCUAAUGGCGUCCUAGUUCGACUUAUCUCCAUAUGUAUAUAAUUUUUUCCUAUCUUUUGUAUUCGAGACAAGUUUAUUAAGUUAGUCAAUAGCAUAGGCUCGAAACUAUGACUAGAACAUUGAGUGCAUGACAUGCACAUCUUACUCCUUAUUUUCCUUAUUCGUACCUAUUUUUGUUCAUACUUUCUAAAUUUCACUAGUACAUUAUCCCUUGUUAAGGAAAAUUAUGUAUCCAGAAUAGUAAAUGGUCUGAUCCACUUAAGAGUGAAGGCUAGUUCAUUGAUUGAUACAUCUAAAUCACAUUAAAUAAUAUAUAUUACAUUUUUGAACUGUUAAACUAGAAACAAGAUUUAGGAUUUUUCAAGUGGACCAAAAUACAGAUAUUGAUGCAGAGUACUUAAAGUCUGUUGCUUGCCGAUACUCUAAAAGUAGUGUAUUUUUGGAGAAUCUAACAUGAGUGGAGAGUACAUGCGCAACUUAGCUUAAAAUGUGUUGGUCCAAAAGGAAUGCCCCUUGAUACCAUAAACAAAAAAUACCAUGUUUGCUUUUUAUUCAAUAAUAGUACAAAGAUGACUGAUCCAAACAAUUUUAAGCUCAAACACAAUGUUAUAAGGUAAGAAAAGAACUAAUGUCACAAUAUUACAGGUAAAUCGUUUUUUUUCUUCUUCCUGUUUUUCAAUUUUUAUCAGUAUAAUAUUAUGUAUUACAAAUCUUUAAGAUCCUCAUCCAUUGGUAUGGUAUAGAAGAAGUGUUCAAUUUGCUCGACUGCAUUAUCCUCACCCUGAGUCUCGUUUCCUCUCUUUAUUGGAGCUAGGCUCUCCUUGUAAUUGAAAACCCAACAGCCAGCCAUGUUAAGGUCCAGCUGAAAUCCAAGAUCUGUAACUUGUCUUGUUUUAGGGUCAUAUAGCACCAGCUGUGAAGUUUCUGUGAUCUCGAAAACCAUCUUAUCGUUAUCCCAGAUGUUGCGAGGCCAAUGAGCAUCUAUAUGAGGUUGUACAGUUAGAACUUUGGACCAAAUUCCCUCUUGUUUCAAUACCCACACAUCAUAUAUGGAUGUCAUAGGUUUGCCUGGGUCACCGGUUAAUAAAGCAAGUGAGUUGCCACGCAGUGUAAGCGUCCCCCAAUGUUCACUUGGAAUAGCUGGGACUUGCGUCUCCCCAAACUGCUCGCUGUCCAUGUCAAAAGUGCGAAUCGUGUAGAUCUCAUCAAGGCCCGUACAAAGCCAAUAAUAAACACCGUUGAGAUAAGUGGCGUCAAGGGGUGCAGAUAAGGUAGAACUGGAAGGGAAUUCAGGAGUAAGGUGUUUCCAUGAAUUGUUGCAUGAGGAAUAGACACAGGCAUAGACACGAUUAUUAGCACCUUGUCCCAGUUCAUCCCAGAACACUCGAAUCCAUACGACCUUAUAAUCUAGAGUCAACAGGUCAAAUCCCAAUCCCAACUGAUGAUCAUGGUGCGAGAAAAAGGCCUCAAUCUCAAAAGGCGCAGGAGGCAGAGACCUGAACUCUCUGGUGGCAGGAUUCUACAAACCCAAGCAGACAUCGUCUUCAUAAAACUUCUUCUGCACUAAGAAUAAGCCAUCAACUGGACCAGCAACACACGUGAAAUCAGUGAUCCUCUGAAGCUGAAGGAGAGUUUUUUGUUCAGGGGUCACACCUGGAACAAUUUCUUCAGGGAGCAAGGAGAAUACAACAGACUUUACGAUGGGGUGUACUUCACGUGCUACUUUCAAGUUGCAAACAAGGAGACGGGCACAAUUGUUCUUGUGAUGAAAAUGUUUUUCUAUGAAACUUGGACUUUUGAUGAGAGCAUACCAGUGCUUGCACACACAUUUGUAACGCAAGAGUGAUUCCACUGACAAUCUCAAUAGAAUAUCAACUACUAGAUCUUCUGGUAAAGGGCGGUGACCAUCCAUACUGGUGGAAAUAUAAGUAAAGUGAGAAAACUUACAAACAUAUUGAAAGAGAACAGAUCUAUAAACAUGCUUUAAUAGAACACACAAUGCAACGAAGAAGAUCAAGCAGCAACAUUACCAUGUGAAACAAAAAAUUGUAAGUUACACAUUUGACCACUCGGCCACAAAUAUUUACAUCAGCAAGCCAAUACACAUAUAUUAUGGGUAUACAUAUUUUUAAAAAUAUUUUGACAAAAUUUCUUGUAGAUCAAUUUGGGAGAAAAGAUCCAAAAUAGUUCUUCAUGUUUGGCUUCAGACUCAAAGUCAUCCCUUCCCUUUCUUUUAUAUGGUGCACUAAAUAGUUUCAUUUUCUGGCAUUCGAAAUCCUUUUUAUUACAGUUCUAUAUUUGAUUCUGUAUCAUAUAUAUAUAUAUAUAUAUUUAUCCCUGUCGUCGCCUUAGAUUCAUUGGCCUGAAUUUGAACAUUUAUGUAGCUCGGAACACUCAAAUAUCCGCCGCACUAUACCUUGAUUGCUUUUGACUACAUCUAUGACCAGUAAGUACAAGAUUGAUUGGGUAUUUGGUUUGAUUUUUGAGUUUGUCAUAUAUAUACAUAUGAAGCACUUUGUUAUUACACGAUAUAUCUUAUGAAUAAUAUAGGCAAUGUUUAUGAAGAAUUAGUUUUUAAAAGUUUUAGUUCAAUAACUUUGAUUAAUAUAUAUACUUGUAUGUGUUUGUAUAUACAUUUAUUUCUGGUAUCUCAGCACAUGUAUCAUACCCCAAAUCCUAAAAUUCAUGUGAUGAAGAAUUUGACUUUUAGAUCCGCAACCGUUUUGGGUCCAAGCAAUUUUCUUGUGUUAGAAUCUAAAAGCUGAUUUUCAUUUCUAAAAUCGUAAGUUAAGAAACGAAAGAAAAAAAAAAUACAGAUUUCCAUCUUAAAAAUUUGAAGUCUUCCCAUUUUCUAGUGAACAAGCGGUGAUUUGCUUUUCUAAUUUUUUCCUCACUUUUAAAAAGUGUCUUUUUCCUUAUAGGAAAUAUUUUCCAAAACAUUUGAUCAACCGAACAUAGCAAAAUUGGAAAACAUGUAUCGAACACACACAGAUAAAUACAGAUUUCCAUUUUAAGUCUUCCCAUUUCUUAGUAAAGAAGUGGUGAUUUACUUUUCUAAUCUUUUUAUUAGGCAAUCAAUGAUUUUCUUUUUGUAUUUUCAACGUGGAAUGUUACUAGUGCAACUUAUUUUCCCUACUUUCAUCAUAGAAGUAAUUUAAUCACUUUUAAGGAGUUUGUUUUCUAUAGAAAAUAGUAUUUUCUAAAACAUUUGACCAACGAAAAAAAAGAGAAAAUUGAAAAACAUGUAUCGAACACAACCUACAUCAAUUUUGAAACAGAAAGAGAGAAAUGAAAAGUGAAAAAUGGUGGAAGGAGACAUAUAUAUGUGCCAUCUAAUUUAAGAGCAAAAGCAUAACGUAGAGAAAGAGAGCAGCAAAACACAAAUACAGAAAAUUGAAAUCUAACCUGAGGAAGAAGAGCCGUAAAUGAGAAAUGAGAGUAGUGAAGAAGAGGCAAAAAGCUUUGUCUAUUUAUACUACCUACUAAUUAAUUUAGGACCAAAAAUUUCCAAAGUAUUUUUUUUCUUAGAUUUUGUGUCUAGUCAAAAGAAUGUCAUUACCACUAAGCCCAUUUUCUCAUCUAAUUAAUUAUUGUCUCUAUUGCAAGAGUUUUAUUUGAGGUGUUUCACACCCUUUAAGAAAAGUAGAUUAAGACAUAAAUUGAACAUACUUUUCCAUUUUUACCCUUAUUAAUUAUUGUCAAAUUUAUUGAAGUCAUCACAUUGAAAAUCCAAAUGAAGGGUAAAAUUGGAAGAAUAUUUUAAAAAUAGUCUUGAAGAUUGAACAAUUAAGUUAAUUUGAAAAAUGGAAAAUGCCUCAAAAAUUCAAUUAAUAUGGAAUGAAGGGAGCAUACUAUAAGUGGGAAGCUCCUAAUCUCAAAGUUGAUACAAAAAUACCUUUUACUAUUUUUUUUAUUAAAUAAAUAAUUAAAGUUAAUUAGACCAAAUUUACAUGAUUAGCUGUUAGAGUUUAUCAUUUCUUAAUGAGGCUUUAAUUGUUAUCCUUUGAGCUUCUUCCAUUUACACUUAUUCAAACAGUAGUUUAAUGCUUCACACUUAAGUUAUGAUUCUUCUACCUUUCAUCCUCCGCAUUAUUCUUUCAUCUUCCGCAUUAAUAAUUUUCUCUUAAAACCUUUUCUUAUUCCUUACAUUGCAAUACUCUCUAAAAGCUUACAAGAAGUUGUCUUAGCCCUAUUAUUCUAUUUGUGUUCUAUCGGUCAGAAAUUUCCCUUUUUCAGGUAUAUCUAUGAUUUAUAUGUAUCUAUAUGUGGUUUAAAUCUCAUUCUUGAGAUGGUAUAUGUUAUUUAAUAUUAAAAUAUAAUUAUCUUUUAAGUUGGAAUUAUUUGUCCCAAUGAAAGAUUUAGUAAUGUACAAUACACUUUUCACUGAAUGUUAUAAACACGGAGAUUAAUUGUUUUAAAUGGAUAUACUUCCGUGCAUAUUGUCAGAGAGUAAUUCCUUUAAUACUUUGUUAAUUUUAUUCUGUUAGAAAUUUAAUUUAUUAUCUACUUGAAUAUUGCAAUUUGGUGUAGAAGCUUUUAGAUUAAAGGACUUUUUAAUCGUUUUUAAACUGAAAGACUACAUCAUGUUUGCAUAAGAAAAAGUUCAAAUGAAAUUCAAAUAAAAAUAUCAAUUUAUCAAUUUUUCGUUCUCCAUAUAUAGGUUUUAUUGACGGGAUGCUAGGUAUCCAAACAACCUCUCUUUUUAAAGAAAUAAAUUUUCUCUAUCUUUUUAUGACAAAUGAAGAAAUUUUCUCUAUCUUUGUUAUGACAAAUGUUAUAGGCUUAGACUUUGAUCUUCAUCUUCAAUUAUUAUUACAUACAAUUUAUAAUUAACUUGCUACAAUGGGCAUAUCACUUACGUUAUUAUAUAUUAAUACUUAGCGAUAAAUUCUUCUUUCUAUAGGUCAUUUUUGAAAAUGCUUAAAGUAAAAAAUGAUAUUAAUAUAAAAAAUUGUGUCGCAUAUAAGUUGAUACAAAAAAACACCAAGAACUAGAUAGAUAACAAUAGAUCUACAAUAAAAGUUUUGAUCAUGAUAAAGAAAUUGAAACAUCGAAGUAGAACAUAUACAAUUAAAAAUAACAUCUAUAAGAAAGUAUUAGGUAAAUAUAAUUAUAUCACAUAUUUACACCUAAUAGUAUUACUAAUGAACUCAUUUUAUACUGUGCAUAUCUAACUAAAUUAUAUGGGUACACUUUUCAAGUUUAGAUGACAUCGAAUAAUCAACUCAAUUUUUUGACUAUUCUUUAAAUUGAGCAUGUAAGUCUUUUCAUAUUAAAUUUUCUAUUUAUCAUUAUACACAUAUUUUAAUAUUAUCUUUAUCUAUAUAUAUACUAAUUUACACCGGAGAUAACACUUAUUAGAGACAUUUUUUGAUUAUCUAGAUUGUUAUAAAUGAUAUUACCAAUUAAAUUAGGAUACAGGUGCAUGACACGUGGCCAGAAACUAGUACAGUAAAACCUCUAUAAAUUAAUACUCGGUAAAUUAAUAAUCUCUCUAAAGUAAUAUUUUUCUCCGGUCCCGACUUGGGCCAAUGAAAAAAAUUCUCAAUUUCGAUAAGAUAAUAAGAUAUAUAUUUCCAGAAGACCCCUAUAUAAAUAUAUGGUCCCAUUGAUAUCAUAAAUUAAUAAUUCUUUAAAAGUACAAAUAUAUCUAAGACAAUUUAGUGAAAUAUGAUUCUAUUGUGUUCUGUUUUUUUCUUAAAAUUUAAAUCUAGUUGAAACUCAUCUCUAACUUUUCUUAUUGCAUCCAAGAGCUCCGAUAUUAUCUUUUCGAACUGCACUAUAAAAUUGUGAAGAGUUCUAGAUGCGAUAAGUGCUUCAUUACGCGCAACUGGUUCCAAAGGUAUAAUAUCAUCUUCAACUUCAUCAACAACAUUGCUUUUUCCGAUGGUAUCUGUAACACCCGUAACUAGAAAGAACUAAAAAGGAAUUUUUAAAAAGAGGAAAUAGUCAUUUUUGGAAAGUAUAAAAAUUUUGAAAUUUUCAAGUGUGUUAAAGUUGAGUUUUUGGUCAACUUCAAAUAACCAUAACUUCUAGCUCAUGAUGAGUUAGGUGUGUUUCCAAAUAUCUUAGAAAUAUCUUGGAAUAAUCUUUCCAACGCCGCCAAGUUUACGCGAUUCCGAGUUCGUAUGAGUGAGUUAUUCCCUUUGGAAGUUGGGCUGUUCAAAUAAUAAUGUCCAAUCCGGAUUUUUAAAGGGUGUUUUGGUCUUUUCCAUACCCUAUUAUUUUAGUUCGUUUUUGGUGAAUUAAUUAAGGGUCAAAACUGAAUUGGUUCAGUUUAGGCAAUUGGAGAUUUAUGCUAGGGUUUUUGGAGAAAGAACGCAAGAGGAGAAAAGAGGAGAAAGAGCAAAGUUCGUCGUUCUUGAAGGUUUAGCUUGUGGAUUUCGACAAGGGUUGAUCCCUAAAGAGGUAUGUGAGUCUUUCAUAGCAUUGAGUUCGUUCACUUACGGGCCAAUCAUGUUUAUUUCAUCGUAAAUUCGUCCUAAAAGAGUUUGAAAGUUGAUGUUCUUGACAUCUGUUCUUGAAUUUGAUAUUAUUCUUGAGUUGAGCUGAAAUUGAGAAGUUUCUGAGAUCAUUACGUCAAAUUAUUGAGUUGGUUGAAGUUAGGAUUUUAGGUACAUUUGCUGGGUAUCUGUAUCUAAAAAGAAUUUGGGAAAAAGAAUCGAAUUUGGGCGAAUUAGGGUUGGAAAAUGAAGAAGAAAAUUCGUCGGGCAAAUCUGGGAUCAUUACGUCAAAUUAUUGAGUUGGUUGAAGUUAGGAUUUUAGGUACAUUUGCUGGGUAUCUGUAUCUAAAAAGAAUUUGGGAAAAAGAAUCGAAUUUGGGCGAAUUAGGGUUGGAAAAUGAAGAAGAAAAUUCGUCGGGCAAAUCUGGGCACUGGUUCCGCGUCGUGGACCUGCUCCCCAGAUUUAAGAAAAGUCAUUUCGCGUUGCGGUCAUUGACCGUUCUGCCUCAAAAAGUAUUUUUGCGACCAAAAUUUAAAUACGCCUCCGCGUCGUGGACUAGUUUCCAGGCAGUGAUUUCUUGAUCAUUUCUCAUGUUUAGCUAUCUAAAAUCAUUCCUAAACAUCAUGAGAUCUUUCCUGUCACAAAUCUCAAUCCUUGAACCCACAAUUCAAUUCAAGGAGCAGUUAAUAGUCAAGAGAAGUUCAUAGAGUCUUCCAAGGGUCUUUUACAAAUAUUUUAACUUUGUNNNNNNNNNNNNNNNNNNNNNNNNNNNNNNNNNNNNNNNNNNNNNNNNNNNNNNNNNNNNNNNNNNNNNNNNNNNNNNNNNNNNNNNNNNNNNNNNNNNNNNNNNNNNNNNNNNNNNNNNNNNNNNNNNNNNNNNNNNNNNNNNNNNNNNNNNNNNNNNNNNNNNNNNNNNNNNNNNNNNNNNNNNNNNNNNNNNNNNNNNNNNNNNNNNNNNNNNNNNNNNNNNNNNNNNNNNNNNNNNNNNNNNNNNNNNNNNNNNNNNNNNNNNNNNNNNNNNNNNNNNNNNNNNNNNNNNNNNNNNNNNNNNNNNNNNNNNNNNNNNNNNNNNNNNNNNNNNNNNNNNNNNNNNNNNNNNNNNNNNNNNNNNNNNNNNNNNNNNNNNNNNNNNNNNNNNNNNNNNNNNNNNNNNNNNNNNNNNNNNNNNNNNNNNNNNNNNNNNNNNNNNNNNNNNNNNNNNNNNNNNNNNNNNNNNNNNNNNNNNNNNNNNNNNNNNNNNNNNNNNNNNNNNNNNNNNNNNNNNNNNNNNNNNNNNNNNNNNNNNNNNNNNNNUUAGAUGAUUCUUUAGUGCUUUUUAGCAUAGACUAGUGGAUCCACUUAGUAGUUUAGGUUCUAUACUCAUGGCAAGGUAUAUGAUGUCCUUGGCAGUGUGAGGCAAAACGUUGUAUCAUCACAAUAUCUCUUAAGUGAUGGUUGUCGGUUAGAGAAACUCCCACACAAGUAUUUUGUAUUCUUAUAUACACAGAUUAUUUGUAAUUUCAUAUAAAAUAGAGUUCAUAUUGUAUCUUUGCAUACAUACAAAGUUAUUAUUGUAUUUCUAGAUACAUAGAGUUUCUUUCCAUGUUUUAAAAGCUUUUCUUUAUAUUGCAUUUAUAUUACUGCUUUAGUUGAGUUGAGACUAGGUUUGUCGUACAUUCCAUGUACUGAUGCCAGUUGGCCUGCAUCGUUUUAUGAUGCAGACGUAGGUAACUAGGAUCAACAUCCAGUGCAUCGUUGAUCCAGUUGAGCACUCAGAGUCUGGUGGUGAGCCUCCUUUGCUUUUCCGGAGGAUCCCCUUUUUAUUGCUUUCAGUAUUUGAUUUCAUUAGGAUGUCGUGGGUCUUGUCCCGACAUCUAUAUCAGUUUUAGAGGCUUCAUAGAUAGACAAUCAGAUGUUAGUUAUUUUAGUAAUUUCAUUGUCAUUAUCUUAUGUUGAGACUUGUGUUUGCCUUAAUGGCCAGUUGAAUGUUCAUUUAUAACAUUCCAGUUUAUUACAUAGAUUUAUCUUUGUUGAGUUAAGUCUUCCGCUGAGUAAGUAAGCCAGGCCAAGGGUUUUCUUGGGGCCAACAAUGGUUCUCGAGUGCUAGCCACGUUUGGGGUGUAGGCUCGGGGUGUGAAAAACUUGGUAUCAGAGCAUAGAGUUCAAGAGUCCUAGGGAGUCUAUGAAGCCGUGUCUGUAGAGUCCUAGUUAUCGGUGUGAAGCGCGCCACAUCUAUAAUAGGAGGAUGCAACAUUUAGGAACUAUCUCACUUCUUUCACAUCCAUUUCGUGCGAUAAAGUUAAUCUCUAUAAAGUUUCUUCCAAUUCGUGGUUGUGCGUGUAUUUCAGAUCAUGCCUCUACGAAGAGCUGUCAAAGGUCGUCCGACUAGAAGGAAGGUUGAACCACAGGAACAAGGGGUACCUAAUGCACUAGAAGUGUAACCCCAAUGAGACGUCACCAAUGCUGAGUUCCUUGAGGCCAUUCAGAUGUUGAGCCAAGUUGUGACCAACCAAGCUGGGCAACAGAGAGAGAAUCUUCAGGAAGUGGCUGAUACUUCUAGAGUUUAUGAGUUCUUAAAGAUGAAUCCUCCAAACUUCACAAGUUCAAGUGUCAGCUUUAGACCUAAGGGGAGAUGACGAGAUGAAAAAUCAAGUCAAGUGUUUGAGAAUAAGAUAGUAAUGAGUCCCAAAAAGUAUGGGAGAUAUCUUUUCAGAAGACUUUUAGUAGUGAAGUGAUGUUAAAAGGAAAAGGCUAAUGAUCCAUGUGCAACAAGUUGAGGAGGACAAGCUGAGGGAUAGAGAAUAGUUUAAGAAUAAGAGGGCGAAGACAUCAGGGAAUGAGUCCGGGUGGCAGAAGAGUAAUGCCAACCGGUCUUCCUUCCAACAGAAACAAAAGUGACCUGCUCCAUCAUCUACUAGUGCACCUGUACCAAGAAACAAAUGUGAGUACAAUAGUCAGAAUUCCCAGAAUUUUAGAGCUAGACCUGCACAUUCUCAAGGCAGUGUUGCAUAAGGAGGUAAUGAGACUCAUGCAUAUGCUAAGUGUGGUCGGAACCACUUAGGGGUGUGACGGGAUGACUCCACUGGUUGCUUCAAGUGUGGUCAAGACAAUCAUUUUAUGAGAGAGUGUCCUGAGAACAGGCAGGGUAAUGGUAAUGGGAGACAAUAGAGCCCAGUCUUCUUCAGUUGCUCCACCAGACAGAGCUGCACCUAGAGGAGCUACUUCAAGUACUGGCGGAGGAGCAAACCACCUAUAUGCUAUCACUAGUCGCCAAGAGCAAGAGGAUUCACCAGAUGUUGUUACUGGUAUGAUCCAAGUCUUUAACUUUGACGUUUACGCUUUGCUAGAUCCAGGAGCGAGUUACCAUUUGUAACUCCAUAUGUUUCUAUGAAUUUCAAUUAUAUUCUGAGCAACUUAGUGUACCCAUCAGUGUUUCUACACCUGCUAGUGAGUUUAUUCUAGUAGAAAAAGUCUAUCGUGAUUGUUCCAUUUUCGUUAAUCACAAGAGUACCAUGACUGAUUUAGUUGAGUUAGACAUGGUAGAUUUUGAUGUCAUUCUAGGUAUGGAUUGGCUUCAUGCCUGUUGUGCCUCAGUUGAUUGUAGAACUCGAGUUAUCAAGUUUCAGUUUCCAAAUGAGCCAGUCUUAGAGUGGAAAAGUAGUUCAACAAUGCCUAAGGGUCGUUUCAUUUCAUACCUUAAGGCAGGAAAGUUAGUUUCCAAGGGGUGUGUCUAUCACUUAGUCCGAGUUAAUGACUCUAGUGUUGAGAUACCUCUUAUUCAGUCAGUUCCAGUAGUAAAAAAGUCUCCAGAAGUCUUUCUAGAUGAUCUACCCGUAGUCCCUCAUGAGAGAGAAAUAGACAUCGGUAUAGACCUUCUUCUAGAUACUCGUCCUACAUCUGUUCUGCCAUACUGAAUGGCACCAGUAGAGUUAAAAGAGUUGGAAGAGCAGUUGAAAGAUCUCCUUGAUAAAGGCUUUAUUCAACCAAGUGUCUCACCUUGGGGAGCUCCGGUCUUAUUUGUGAGAAAGAAAGAUGGUUCCCUUAGGAUGUGUAUAGAUUACCGUCCGUUGAACAAGGUUACCAUCAAGAACAAGUAUCCUCUUCCGAGAAUUGAUGAUUUUUUCGAUCAACUUCAGCGUGCCACCUGUUUCUCUAAGAUAGAUCUCAAAUCUGGCUACCAUCAGUUAAGAGUAAGAGAAUGUGAUAUUCCAAAGACAACUUUCAGAACCCGUUAUGGUCAUUAUGAGUUUCUAGUCAUGUCCUUUUGUUUGACCAAUGUGCCUGCAACAUUCAUGGACCUUAUGAAUAGAGUAUUCAAACCUUAUUUAGAUAUGUUUGUUAUCGUCUUCAUUGAUGACUUACUAAUCUAUUCAAGAAAUGAAGAAGAUCAUGCUAGUCAUCUCAUAAUAGUUCUCCAGACCCUAAAAGAUAAAAAAGUUGUAUGCUAAGUUCUCGAAAUGUGAGUUUUGGCUUGAGUCUGUGGCAUUCUUAAGCCACAUUGUGUCUGGAGAGGGAAUUAAAGUUGAUACUCAGAAAAUUGAGGCAGUACAGAAUUGGCCUAGACCCACAUCUCCAACUGAUAUUAGAAGUUUCUUAGGUUUGGCUGGAUAUUAUUUCAUCCCCUUUGACCAAGUUAACUCAGAAAACAGUUAAGUUUCAAUGGUCUGAAGCUUGUGAGAAAAGCUUUCAGGAGUUGAAAAAGAGGUUGACUACUGCCCCAAUAUUGACCUUACCAGAAGGUACGCAAGGCUUUGUUGUAUAUUGCGAUGCAUCCAGAGUUAGUUUGAGUUGUGUGUUAAUGCAGAAUGGUAAUGUUAUAGCUUAGGCCUCCAGACAGUUGAAAGUUCAUGAGAAGAAUUACCCAACCCAUGAUUUAGAGUUGGCUGCUGUAGUUUUGCUUUGAAAAUAUAGCGUCAUUAUCUUUAUGGUGUUCAUGUGGAUGUGUUCACCAAUCACAAGAGUCUUCAAUAUGUGUUUAGUCGGAAAGAGCUUAAUCUCAGACAAAGGAGGUAGUUAGAAUUACUCAAGGAUUAUGACAUGAGUAUUUUUAUCACCCAAGUAAGGCUAAUGUUGUUGUUGAUGCCUUGAGCAGGUUGUCUAUGGGUAGUACCGCCCAUUUUGAGGAAGAUAAGAACGAGUUAGCAAAAGAGGUGUAUAGACUUGCAUGACUAGGAGUUCGACUAAUGGAUUCCACAGAAGGAGGAGUAGUGGUGAUGAAUGGGGCUGAAUCAUCAUUAGUGUCAGAAGUGAAAGAGAAGCAAGACCAAGAUCCUUUAUUUCUUGAAUUAAAAGGCAAGUGUUCAUAAGCAAAAAAGUGAUGGGUUUUGAGAGAUGGUGUUUUGAGGUAUCAAGGUGGAUUGUGUGAUUGAUUUCAAGGGUAAUUUGGGAUGAUCCCCUACCUCUCAUUAAGUUUGCUUACAACAAUAGUUACCAUUCUAGCAUCCAAAUGGCUCCAUAUGAGGAUCGGAGAAGAUGCAGAUCUCUUAUUGGAUGGUUUGAAGUUGGUGAAGUUGGGUUGAUAGGUCCAGACUUAGUUCAUCAGGCUAUGGAGAAGGUGAAAGUUAUUCAAGAGAAGUUGAAAAUUGUCACGACCCGAGCCUACACCUAGACGUGGCCGGCACUCGAGAACCAUUGCUGGUCCCCAAGCGAACCCUUAUCCUGGCUAACUACAAGCGGAAAACUGAUUCAAGCAUACAAAGCUUAAAACUGAAUAGCAUUCAUGAAACUGAAAUACAAAGCUUUAACUCAAAUGAAAAACUCUGAAUAAAAUAAUAUAUUCAACUCGCCAUAAAAUAGGCAACUUAAGUCUUUAAAACAUUUAAUAAAAUAAAUGAAUAAUACAAACUUCUCAACUAUACUAACUAUCUAUGAAGCCUCUAACUGAUAAAGAUGGAAGUCGGGACAAGACCCACGACCUCUUAACUAAACUAAAAAGUAAAUGAAAUCCUCCGAAAACGAGGAGGCUCACCAUAGCUAACUCGAACUCCCGGAUGUGUCAACGAAUCUCCUGUUGAUGAUCCUGAAUACCUGUGUCUGCAUCAUGAGAAGAUGCAGGCCAAAUGGCUCAGUACGCGGAAUGUACGAGCUUGUAAGAGGAAUUCUAAAGCAUAAACAUAAGCUUGAAACUUGAUAAAAAUGGAAAAUACUUGCCUCUUUUCAAACUUACUCAACUCAAGGAAUACUCAAGGAUACUCAAAACUACUCAAACGUACUCAACUCAGAAGUACUCAAAGAUAAGAUACUCAACUCAAAGAUAUGUUAUUCGACUCUGGGUACUCAACUCUGUAUACUCAACUCAAUAUAAAGCAACAAUAAGAGAUGCAAUAUAUAGAAAGCUUUAUAAAAUAGUAAAAACAACUUAGUUCGUUAAAGAAAAUGCAAUAACAAACUCAACUUUACUUAUACAAUAAAGUAAUGUAGUUUAUGUGGAGUUUCUCCAACCGACAACCACCACUAUGAGCCUAAGUGNNNNNNNNNNNNNNNNNNNNNNNNNNNNNNNNNNNNNNNNNNNNNNNNNNNNNNNNNNNNNNNNNNNNNNNNNNNNNNNNNNNNNNNNNNNNNNNNNNNNNNNNNNNNNNNNNNNNNNNNNNNNNNNNNNNNNNNNNNNNNNNNNNNNNNNNNNNNNNNNNNUUAAUAUGAACUCGCAUCCCCAUAUCGAUGCUCAAUACUACUCCCAAAAAAUAUACUUAGCUCUUAUGUUUUAAAAAACCAAACUUCUUUCUUUGGUUUGAGAUAAUUACUCAAAACUUAGCUUAAAAGCUUUCUUGGAAUCGAUGUUCCCUUUCUUGCUCAAAACUCUUUUGGAAAUCUUAAUUUCCUCUCAUCUUAAAUGUGAAAACAUUACUCUUGGAAAUACUUAGUUCCCAUAUAUUAUUUUAAAGAAAAUGAACUUUACUCUUACUCUUUACUCAACUUCAAAGCUUAAGUCUUAAAACAAAAUUUAAACAUUUGUAAAAGACUUCUUAAAAUAUGGUUCAUGCCGAAUUAUGGACGUGAACGACUCAAUGCAAGGUUUUCAAUAACCAAAGAUAGAACUCAAUACUUGGAACUCAAGAACUUCAUUGUUAAUACUCGUUGCAAAAAUGCUCAACUCAGAGGGUUCAUGCGGAAUUAUGAGCAUGAAUAACCCAACUCAAACUUCAUGGGUAACAUGUAAUAGUCCCAUGAUUAGAACUAUAAUCUCAGAGGGGAUUAGAAACUCAAAACUCAAGACUUAGAACUUGAAGAUACUACUCCUUUCAAAGAUAUUGAACUGAUGGAGUUCAUGCAGAAGUUAUGGGCAUGAACGACUUGACUCAAGGGUCAAAAUAUCAAUAANNNNNNNNNNNNNNNNNNNNNNNNNNNNNNNNNNNNNNNNNNNNNNNNNNNNNNNNNNNNNNNNNNNNNNNNNNNNNNNNNNNNNNNNNNNNNNNNNNNNNNNNNNNNNNNNNNNNNNNNNNNNNACUUUUAACUCUCUCUUGAAUGUGAAUUAUGAAUUCAAGAGUUAUGGCUCAAGCUAUAAAAGAUAUCAUGACGAAAAAAUAGACUCAUGAAUACAUUCUCCUCACUCUCAUGCUCACUACUUGAGUGUUGAAAGAAGUUACUAGAAGUUGUAGAAGACUCCACAAAAGGACUCAAAGGGACUUUCUUAGAAUGUUUGAAAGAAUUCUCAAAACUUAGCUCUCAACUCUACCUUGAAUUUGAAUUAUUAAUUCAAGGUUAUGAUAAUGUUAUGAAUGAUUUCUAGGUGUUUAGAAGUAGUUUAAAGUGUUUAGAAUCAAAGGGGAGUAAAGGUACCAUUUGAAAGAACUCAAACAGACGAAACGAUGAACAACGGGUGGGGGCCGGCGACCCUGGCGCUCUGAGUCACGUGGGGCGCCAGCCCCUAAAGUUCAGAGAGGUGGUUGGGGCUCUCUGGCUGGCGUGACACUCCAGGCCCCAACCCAGAAAAGUUCGACGACUUUCUUUGCUCGUUUUCUCACCCUAAGUCGCCUAAAAUCGAACAGUUUCUUCCCCAAUCACUUGGAUUUAAUUAAUUAACAUUAAUACACUCUCAUAUACUCAAAACAACACUCAAAUUACUAAAUUUCAUUUGAAGAAAUCAUCAAAACCCCAACACAACAAGAUUUAGAAUGAACUUCAAGAACACCUAUCAAGAACUCAAAUCUUUCAACUUCAAGAAUGAAAUUUGGGCUGAAAAUAACAUGUUUGGAGUGUGGGUGAACAAACCCAACAUUAUGGAAGCUUACAUACCUCUUAGGGAUCAAACCCAUGGCAAAAAUCUGCAACAAGACGGAAGAAUCUCGACGAACGCUUGAUCCUCUCCUCUUUUCUCUUCUUUUCUCUUCUUGAACUCUCAACUAAAACCCUAGGCAUAAACUAGGAUUAUAAAACUGAACAUAAUCAAAUUAUACCCCUAAAAUAUUACUAAAAACGAAUUAAAUCUGAUUGGGUAAGGAAAAGACCAAAAUACCCCUUACUAUUUUCGACUAACUUUCCUUAACUGGGUUGCCUAACUUCAAAAGGUCAUAUCUCACUCAUCCAAACUCGAAACUUAGAAAACUCGUUGGCGUUGGAAAGAUAAUUCAAAGAUAUUUCCUACGGUAUCUGGUAGCACACCUAACGCAUCCUGAGCUAGGAUUUAUGGUCGUUUGAAGUCGACCCAAAACUCAUACUUAAGCAUAACUUGCAAAAUUUCAGAUUUUGCUAUUUCCAAGUUUGAACUUUUUUGGAACUCAAGGUGCUACAUCCAGUGACCUUAAAACUUAAGAAAUUUUUAAUUCCUUGGAAAAAUCUCACUUACUACGAUGAACGGUUCGAGUCUUAGUUCAAUUUUUUUUUUGGGUGUUACAAAAACAGCGUAGAGUCCUCAGAAAUCCUACAUUGAUGUUAGGAGAAAGAAGUUAGAGUUCGAAGUAGAUGAUUGGGUCUACUUGAAAGUUUCACCCAUGAAGGGUUUUAUGACAUUUGGUAAGAAGGGGAAGCUUAGCCCCCGGUAUAUUGGUCCUUACAGAAUAUCCAAGAGAUUCGCAAUGUAGCUUAUGAGUUGGAGCUACCUCAAGAGUUAGCAGCGGUUCAUUCGAUUUUUCACGUCUCCAUGUUGAAAAAGUGCAUGGGCGAUCCUUCUUUGAUCAUACCAACCGAAGAUAUUGGGAUCAAGGAUAGCUUAUCUUAUGACGAGAUUCCUAUUCAGAUUCUAGAUCGCCAAGUUCACAAGUUGAGAACAAAAUAGGUAGCAUCAGUCAAAGUCUUUUGGUGGAAUCAAUUUGUUGAGGAAACUACUUGGGAAUCGGAGGAGGAUAUGAAGAAGAGAUAGCCACAUCUCUUCGAAUCAGGAGAAAUUCCAGAACAAGGUACUAAUUCAUUUCUUAGUACUCUUUAACUUAUGAGAUUGCAUGUUGUAGUUGCAUUGGUUGUUGGCUGUUUGAACUGAAUGUUAGAUGUUAUGCCCUUAACUUACUAAGAGUAAGCUCAUUCGAGGAUGAAUGUUCCCAAGGGUGAGAUAUUGUAACACCCGGUAACUAGAAAGAACUAAAAAGCAAAUAGUCAUUUUUGGAAAGCAUAAAAAUCUCGAAAUAUUUAAGUGUGUUAAAGUUGAGUUUUUGGUCAAAUUCAAAUGACCAUAACUUCUAGCUCAGGAUGAGUUAAGUGUGUUUCCAGAUAUCUUAGGAAAUAUAUUGGAAUAAUCUUUCCAACGCUGCCGAGUUUACGCAAUUCUGAGUUCGUAUUAGUGAGUUAUGCCCUUUGGAAGUUGGGCUGUUCAAAUAAGGAAAUGUCCAAUCCAGAUUUUUAAAGGGUGUUUUGGUCUUUUCCAUACCAUAUUAUUUUAAUUCAUUUUUGGUGAAUUAAUUAGGGGUCAAAACUGAAUUGGUUCAGUUUAGGCAAUUGGAGAUUUACGCUAGGGUUUUUGGAGAAUGAACGCAAGAGGAGAAAAGAGGAGAAAGAGAAAAGUUCGUCGUUCUUGAAGGUUUUACUUGUGGAUUUCGACAAGGGUUGAUCCCUAAAGAGGUAUGUGAGUCUUUCAUAGCAUUGAGUUCGUUCACCUACGCGCCAAUCAUGUUUAUUUCAGCGUAAAUUCGUCCUAAAAGAGUUUGAAAGUUGAUGUUCUUGACAUCUAUUCUAGAAUUUGAUAUUGUUCUUGAGUUGGGCUGAAAUUGAGAAGUUUCUAAGAUCAUUACGUCAAAUUAUUGAGUUGGUUGAAGUUAGGUUCUUAGGUUUAGGUACAUUUGCUGGGUAUCUGUAUCUAAAAAGAAUUUGGGAAAAAGAACCGAGUUUGGGCGAAUUGGGGCUGGAAAACGAAGAAGAAAAUUCGUCAGGAAAAUCAGGGCACUGGCUCCGCAUCGCGGACCUGCUCCCCAGAUUUGGGAAAAGUCAUUUCGCGUCGCGGAGCGGUCACAGACCGUUCUGCCUCAAAAAGUAUUUUUGCGACCAAAAUUUAAAUACACCUCGACGUCGUGGACUAGUUUCCAGGCAGUGAUUUCUUGAUCAUUUAUCAUGUUUAGCUAUCUAAAAUCAUUCCUAAGUAUCAUGAGAUCUUUUCUAUCAAAAAUCUCAAUCCUUGAACCUAUAAUUCAAUUCAAGGACCAGUUAAGAGUUAAGUCAAGAGAAGUUAAGAGUCAAGUCAAGAGAAGUUCAUAGAGUUUUCCAAGGGUCUUUUACAAAUGUUUUAACUUUGUUUUAAGACUUGAGUUUGAGUUGAGUAAAGUUUGAAGUUCAUUUCUUCAAAAGAGUAUAUCGGGACUAUGUAUUUCCAAAGAGUAAAAUGUUUUUCACAUUUUAAAGAAGAAAUGAAACUUUGAUUUCCAAAAGAGCCUUUGAGCUAGUUUUCAGUGAAGAGCCUUUGAGUUAGUUUUCAGUUUAAAGAGUAAAUGCUUUCACAAUAAAGCAAGAGAGGAAACUUAGAUUUUCAAGAUAGCCUUUGAGCUCAGUUUUUGAGCAAUUAUCUCAAAUCACAGAAAGAAGUAUGUUUUUUAAAACAUAAGAGCUAGUAUUAUUUUGGGAGUAGUAUUGAGCACCGAUAUGGGGUAGAGUUCAGACAACUCACAACCCCCAUAAACCAUGUAGCCACCAUGGGUAGAAAAGGGUCCUAUUGUUUAGAUGAUUCCUUGAUGCUUUUUAGUAUAGACUAGUAGAUCCACUUAGUAGUUCAGGUUCUAUACUCAUGGCUAAGUUUAGGACGGCCCUGGCAGAGUGAGGCAAAACGCUGUAUCAUCACAAUAUCUCUUAAGUGAUGGUUGUCGGUUAGAGAAACUCUACAAUAGUAUUUUGUAUUCUUUUAUACACAGAUUAUUUGUAUUUUCAUAUACAAACAGAGUUCAUAUUGUAUCUUUGCAUACAUGCAAAAUUAUUAUUGUAUUCCUAGAUACACAAAGUUGCUUUCCAUGUUUUAAAAUCUUUUAUUUAUAUUGCAUUUAUAUUACUGCUUUAUAUUGAAAUCAAUUCAAUUCAGUUGAGUUGAGACCAUGUUUGUUUCUUCAGUUCCUUUUAAGCUUAUGUCUUGUUUUAGAUUUCCCCUCGCAUACUCGUACAUUCAAUGUACUGAUGCCAGUUGGCCUGCAUCUUUUCAUGAUGCAGACGCAUGUAACUAGGAUCAACAUCCAGCGCAUCGUUGAUCCAGUUGAGCACUCAGAGUCUAUGCUAAAAUGCACUUAAGGAAUCAUCUAAAAAGUAUGAUCUUUUACUAUCCAUGAUGGCUACAUGGUUUAUGGAGACGUGAGUUAUCUGAACUCAAACUCGUCCCUAUAUCGGUGCUCAAUAUUACUCCCAAAAUACUCAGCUCAUAUGUUUAAAAACAUAACUUUUUCUGUGGUUUGAGAUAACUACUCAAAAAUCUAUUCUUAAAAGAGAUGAUACUCAAACUGCUCAAAACUCUUUUGAAAAUAUCUGUUUCCUCUCAUCUUAAAUGUGAAAACAUUUACUCUUGGGAAUACUUAGUUGCCAUAUAAUCUUUGAAGAAAUAAACUUUACUCUUACUCUUUACUAAACUCAAAGCUUAAGUCUUAAAACAAAGUUAAAACGUUUGUAAAAGACUUCUUAAAAUAUGGUUCAUGCCGAAUUAUGGACAUGAUGGACAUGGAUGACUCAAUGCAAGGUUUUCACUAACCAUAGAUAAAACUCAAUACUUGGAACUCAAGAACUUCAAUGAUACUGCUCAUUUCAAGAAUGCUUAACUUAGAGGGUUCAUGCAGAAUUAUGAGUAUGAACUACUCAACUCAAGGACUCAAGGACUCAAAGAUACUUCUCAUCUGAAGACAGGAACUCAACACUUAAAGGCUUAGAACUUGAAGAUACCACUUCUCUGAANNNNNNNNNNNNNNNNNNNNNNNNNNNNNNNNNNNNNNNNNNNNNNNNNNNNNNNNNNNNNNNNNNNNNNNNNNNNNNNNNNNNNNNNNNNNNUUAGGAACUCAAUACUCAAGACUUAGAACUUGAAAAUACUACUCCUCUCAAUGAUGCUCAAUUUAUGGAGUUCAUGUGGAAUUAUGGGCAUGAAUGACUCCCAAUAACGAACUAAUGUAUACGACUUUUCUCCAUACUUACUUAUUCAAAACUUAACUCAAAUUGAUGGUGGAUCUAAAAGGAUUCACAAUUGAAAUCAAAGUCUUCCUUGAACUCUACUCUUUAACUCCUCUUGAAUGUGAAUUAUGAAUUCAAGAGUUAUGGUUCAUGAUAUGUAGGAUAUAAAUGAUAGUGUAGACUCAUGAAUACAUUCUCCUCACUCUCAUGCUCACUUACUUGAGUCUUGAAAUAAGUUAUUAGAAAUUGAAGAAGACUCCUCAAAAGGACUCUCUCAAAAUGAUUAAAAAAACUCUCAAGACUUAACUCUCAACUUUACCUUGAAUUUGAAUUAUGAAUUCAAGGUUAUGAUUCAUGUUAUGAAUGAUUUCUAAGUGUUUAGAAGUAGUUUAGAGUGAUUAGAAUUAAAGGGAGUGAAGGUUCACUUAAAAGGGGCUCAAACGGGACAACCGACGGAAAAUGAGUUGGGGCAACCAACCCUGGCGCGUUCCGGGCGCAGGGAGCCAGCCCCUAACUUCAGAGGCUGCAUAUGGGUGCACUGCAGGGGCGCUGCCCCAGCCCCUUGGUCGCAUUUGGGGCGCGCCACCCUAGCCUCUCCCCAGGUCAAGUUCGACGAAUUUUGCCUCUCGUUUUCUGAUCCUAAAUCACUUUUAAUCGAUUUAUUUUCUCAAGUUUCCCUUAAAUUCAAUUACUGAACCUAAGUACACACUAAUCCACUCAAAACAAUCACUUUCAUCUCGAGAAAUCAUCAAAACCCCAACAAGACAAGAUUUAGAAUGAACUUCAAGAACACUUAUCAAGAACUUAAAUCCUUUAACUUUUGAGAGUGAAAUUGCGCUGAAAGUAACAUGUUUGGCGUGUGAGUAAACAAACCCAAUAUUAUGAAAGCUUACAUACCUCUUAGGGAUCAAACCCAUGGCGAGAAUCCGCAACAACACGCAAGAAUCUUGACGAACGCUUGAUCCUCUCCUUUUUUCUCUUCUUUUCUCUUCUUGAACUCUCAACUAAAACCCUAGGUGUAUUUUAGGAUUAUAAAACUGAACCUAAUCAGAUUAGACCCCUAAAACAUUACUAAAAAAUGAAUCAAAUUUGAUUGGGUAAGGAAAAGACCAAAAUACCCCUCUAAAAUUUGAUUUUGAGUUUCCUUAUCUAGACAUCCCAACUUCUAAUGGCCAUAUCUCCCUCAUACGAACUUCAAAUUGAGUAAACUCGGUGGCGUUGGAAAGAUAAUUCAAAAAUAUUUCCUAAGGUAUCUGGUAGCACACCUAAAUCAUCUUGAGCUAGGUGUUAUGGUCGUUUGAAGUCGACCCAAAACUCAUACUUAACUUAACUUGCAAAAUUUCAGAUUUUGCUAUUUCCAAUUUAGUUCUUAUUGGAACUCAAGGUGCUACAUAUAGUUACCUUGACACUUAAAGAAAAUUUUAAUUUCUUGAUUAAAUCUCACUCACUACGAAGAACGGUUUAGGUCUUAGUUCGAAAAUUUUUCUGGGGUGUUACAAAAUUCUUCUUCAAUAAUUGAAUCUAUUAGUUAGUGAACUCGAGUAAAUGGCUAAAAACAUCCCUGAACUAUACCUCAAACUCAAACUACAUCCGUGUAUCAUUACAUUGAACAAAAAACAUCCUUCAACUAUCUAAAAAACUGCAAGUUACAUCCUUAUGUUAACUUUCUAUCAAGAAACUAAUCACUUUAAGUAGAAGCACACAACAUUCCGAUAAAGGCAAACAAUUUUGCCCACUCACUGAUCUUCUCUAUCAAGUAGUAAACUAGUAAUCAUAUUAAAAGGUAUUCUAUGACUAGCAUUAUUGUAGGAAUAUUAAUUAAUUAAGGCCUAAAGAUUUAUAACUUGGGACUUGUUCAACUUUGGUUUGUCCCUUUUUUAAUUUUACUGAGCUUGUUAUUAUGUUGUUAGCUUUUCUAUCAAGACUCUUAUUGAUCCCAUGCUAUUUCGAGUUUGCUUUAUUUUUUCAUUUUCUAAUUAGUACGUUACUCCUCCAACAACAUUCAUCAAAUUUCCAAUACUCUCAACUAAUUAAAUGAAAACUUUAAACAUAAAAAUCAGAUGUAAACCUUGCAGAUUUGUCUUUGGACAUAAAAAUAAUAAUUAUGUGAUACUAAAAUACAAGGAUUUGAACUCUUAAUUAGUGUGUGUUUUGGUGCUGGGAAAAAUAAUUUUUAAAAAUAUAUUUUCAAUUUUUCAUAUUUAAUUGACCAAAGUUUUUGAAAAAUAUUUUAUCUAAGAAGACAAGUUCUUAAAAUAUAAAAAAAAAUGAGUUGUAAUAUCGACGUAGGAAAAAAAGCUCCACAAAUGACAUUUCAAAUUCAUUCACAAAUCCUUUUAGCAAAGACAAUGUUUGUUCUAUGUUUAAGAAGACAGUGAGGGGACAAAAUCUCUUUUCAUUAGGAGAUGGUCGCUAUAUUUUUGAUAGAAAAUUAAGGAGGGAUGUAACUUGUAACUUUCAAAAUAGUUCAGCGAUGGUUUUUGUUCACAAUAAUAAUAUAAGGAUGUAGUUUGAGUUUAAGGUAUACUUAAAGGAUGUUUUUGGCCAUUUACUCUAGUGAACUCCUCCAUUAAUGACUAGUCUAAAGUUAGAUUCUUGUAACUUUCAAUUUUGAUUUUGAUUUUGAACUACCAACAAAUUAUCAAAGUGAUGAAAAGUAUGUGAUUUGGUGGUGGGAAUUGACUUAGUGAUGAAAACCUGAUGAGGGCGGUGACCUGGUGGUUGAGGUGAGCCACCGCUGAUGUUUAGUAUGGAUCUGAUGAUGAAGAUUGAAGGGAAGAGAUAAAGAAGGUAACAAAUAAAUAAAAGGAAACAUAUUUUUAAAAAAGUAGAAUAUUAAUAUAAAUUAAAUAAAAUAUUUAUGAAGUUAAUAUUCUAAUUAUUUUUUGAUCUCUCACUCUCCCAAAGAGAGUGAACUAUACCUUCUUUGCCACAUCAACAUUUAGGGAGCAAAUAACUCCAUUUUAAAAUAGUCCAGGGGUGUAAUAGGACUCUUGUAAAGUAUGAGUGUGUAGUUGGGAAUCCGACUAUUGGUUGGGGGCAGUGGCGGAGCCAGAAAUUUUAAUAAUGGGGUUCAAAAUCUGAGAAGUAAACACACGAACUAGUGGAAGAGGGUUCGACAUCUAUUAUACAUACAUAAAAAAUAAUUUUAACCAUGUAUAAAUAGUAAUAUUUUUCGUCGAGGGGGUUCGGAUGAACCCCUUCAUUACAUGCUGCCUCCGCCCCUGGUUGGGGGGCUUUUGGCCAUUUUCUCUUCUUUUAUAUGGUGCACUAAGUUUCAAGUGUUAGUGCACUUUUAGUCUCUUUAUUAACAUCCAUUUACUCAUUAACGUUUUGAUCGAUCCUUUACACAUCCAUUUAUGGCCUCCGCUGUAUACGUUCUGGUACAAAACAAAUUAAUUCUUAGAUUUAUCUUAGCAAUUGCAGAUGAGUCUUCAUUUAUACUUGUUUUAUUUUUUGGCUCUGCAUCUUCAUUGUUUGGUGUGCACCAUUAAAGAUUUGCUAAUUCUUUAACUUUCUCCUCUAUUUUCCAUACACAAUUAAUAGGCUGACUAAGCCUUUGGGUUUUUCCUGAAUAAAAGUUUCUUGUGCUUUGCCUAUAUGUAUAUCUGGAGCAUAACCAAAGAAUAAAAUAAAAACAAGAAAAAAGGAAAAAUAUAAUGCAUGUAUCAAUAUCUCAAAUUAGAGUCGGAUAAAGGGUGUGUUCUAAUCAAAUUUUUUGGAAAAGAUUUUGUUUAGGAAAACAAGUUUCAUACGUGACACUUCAAAUGAAAAAAAAGACUUUGUUUAGGAAGUAGGGAAAACAAGUUUCAUAUGUGACAUUUCAAUUGAUUAUAUUGUCCGCCCACUCUCUAAGACACCACAUCUUCACCUCAGUACUCCCAUAGCUUCCAUACCCACUACCCUACACAUCUACCCUACCUCCGUCUCUCAUAGUAUUUGUCUAGAUUAUACGUAAAUGCUUUUAGAAUAACCAGCCAAAUAGAGUCAACAGGAGGAGACUAGUAAAGAAGUAGUCAUGUGGUUUUCUAGUCUUUUCAUUAACUAGUCAAUAGUUAUUCUUGAGCUACAUAUCAAGUUAGCAUAUAGAGCAAUUUUGCAGGUAAUUUAAGGAGCAUUAAACAUUAAUUAUCCUUUUCUACUAUUAUCAAUCUACAAAUCCUUGGAAAUGGAACAAUUUUAACUUACCCAAUAUUGAAAUGUGAAAGAUGGACAGAAGUAAAAAGAAUUAGCGUAACAAUGGCAGCAAAACCCUAUAUCCCCAAAUAGGACAAAUUCAGAUUCAGAUUUAAAAAAAUAAUCAGAAAUCUAACCUUAUAAGCUGAUGAAGUAGAAGUGGCAAAAAGAGAUACUGGAUUGAUUGAGUGGUGUUGUAGAAAUACCUCAACAGUUGACUACUUCCUCACAUUUCUUUUGUCAUUAUAUUUUAUACAACUCCUUUUAAUUCCUUUUAUCUAAGUUUUUAAUUAUGCGGUGGAGUAAUAAGUACUUAUUCAUAUUUAGUUAGAGGUUUCGGAUUUGAGUCUUUUUGGCUAUAAAAGGAUCUUUGUUAGGGAGUGCUUUACCCAUAAUUUGAGAUUUUUUGGCACAAAUUCAAAUUUAGUGAGGCUCUAAUUUGGAUAUCGAACACUGAGUGGAAAACCAAAAAAAGAAAAAUUACCAUAGGGCUCAUUUGGUAGGUGGAUAAAGCUACAUCUACAUGGUUUUUCAUGUAUUUAAUUUAUAUAAUGUUUUGUUGGUAGAAUGUUGUAUAAAAGUUAUUCAUGUAUUAACAAAGAUGUUUCUCUCUACGAUAUGUUCCCGCAAGAGAAAGAGUUUGUUAUUUGAGGGGGGGGGGUUAUUUGGAGUCUUUUAACCACAAUUUGAAGCCUCGACAUAUCUCUUUUAUCCAUGGUUCAAGGCCCCGACGUAUUUUUUUUGCCACGGUUCGAGGCCCCAACAUAUCUCUAUUCGCCUUGGUUCAAAUCCUAACAUGUGGUUCAUUUGGGUUCUUCGGGGUGCCUUCACCAAAGUUCAAGUCUGGAAUCAGCCAUUGCAGUUCUUGAAAGCUUUUAAUGUAGCUAGUGUUAUUCAUAGUACUUCUGUGUACUUAUCAGACCUAAGUGAAUCCAAACUCGUUUGAGUUAUUUACUUUCCAAUUGCGCACGAAUAUACGUACUUGCUGGGCUUAUAGGGUCCAGUUAGGUUAUAGAUAAUUGUUUUACUUUACUACUUCGUUCUAUCCACACUUGUGAGCUAUAUAGUUAGAUUUUCUGUUAUUGCUUUGUUCAUUUUACCUCUAAUUACCGUUACUUUCAUAUUGUUUUUACUUUCCAAGUUUAGUCAAACUAUGAUGCCUACUCGACACAUGUUGUUUUGAUAUUCAUGCUACACUCCACAUCUGUUUUCUUGAUGUAGAUUUGAGCACCUGCUGAUAACGGUGAUUCGAGCCUAAGUAAUGCGAAGAUCUUCUGAGAUGAAGGGUGAGUUGUUGGCUUCCUAGUUCGACUUAUCUCCAUAUGUAUAUAGUUUUUUACCUGUCUUUUGUAUUCGAGACAAGUAUAUUAAUUAGUAAGUCAAUAGCAUAGGCUCUAAACUAUGACUAAAACAUUGAGUGCAUGACAUGCACAUCUUACUCCUUAUUUUCCUUAUUCAGGGCCGUCUUAACCUCUAGGCCACUAAAGCCAUCGCUUGGGGUCCCAUAUAUUUUGGGUCCCCCAUUUUAAAAAAACAAUUACUUAUAUAUGUUAUUUUUUUAAAAAUAAAUUAUAUGUACUAUUAGCGUUAUGAUUUAUGCUAAAGAAAUUGCAUAUGAGAUGAAAAUAUACCUUAAUUUCGUAAGAAACGGUUUGAUGAAAAUAUGGAUAGAGAAAUCACAAAGUCCCUUGAAUAAUCUUUUAGUGUUUAUUGAUUUAUAUAUGUAGGGUAGAUCAAACUAUUUUUUCAUUUCAAAAUAGAUUCGAACCAAUUGAAGCAUAUAUAUGGAAAUAUUUUUGAUUUCUUAUUUAGUAGUAAAAUGUUGAGAUCACUAGAUGAUGAAUUUAAAAAAUAUUGUCUUAACCUUGAACUUUCUUUAACAUGUAAUAGUUAUUCUGAUAUUGAUGGUUUAAAUUUAUUUUUUGAAUUAAAAGUGUUAAGGGAAAUAAUACAAAUAGAAGAUAAUGAUCUAACAAAAAUACUCAAUCAAAUAAAAAGACUUGAUUCUUUUUCAAAUACACAUAUUGCUUAUAGAAUAAUGUUAACAGUUCAUGUAACCGUUACCUCAGCCGAAAGAAGUUUUUUCGAAAUUAAAAUUGAUUAAAUCUUCUUUAAGAUGAACAAUGUCUCAAGAGAGAUUGAAUGAAUUAGCUAUAUUACCAUUUGAAAAAUAAUUAUUAAAACAAAUUGAUUAUGAAACAGUACCUAUUGACUUCGCAUCUAAAGUAGCUAGAAAAGAAGAUUUUAAAUAAAAGUAUAUAGGAUGAAAAAAAUAAAAUAUUAGGGCCCCUCUAUUCAGUUUUCCUUUAGGCCCCUAAUGUUGUUGAGUCGGCCUGGUUAUUCGUACCUAUUUUUUUCAUACUUUCUAACUUCACUAGUACAUUAUCAUUUGUUAAGGAAAAUUAUGUAAACUGAAUAGUAGAUGGCCUGAUCCACUUAUGAGUGAGUGCUAGUUCAUUGAUUGAUACAACUAAUUCACAUUAAAUAAUAUAUAUUACAUUUUUGAACUGUUAAACUAGAAAUAAGAUUAAGGAUAAGGGAACUCUGUAUUAACUUCACUUUUCCUUAUUAGUAUCAAAAGUUUCUCGUUUAGGAAAUAGGAAGUUUUGAAGGACUAAUAUUAUCCUUUCUUUUAAAUUGAACUCUAUCUAAUGGCUGAUUCUAUUUAUGAAUCAAUCCCUUAGGUGCAUUAUUUCCAUAGGUUCCAACAUUGGUAACAAAAUCUAGCUUUCUCGCUUGAAUUGGCAUAAUUCUAUACUUCCCUCAUCUUAUCUAUCACGGAGGCCGCUCCCACCUUAUCCCUUAUAUCCUCAUUCUAAUCUUUAUCACUCCGAGUAUGAACACGCAUCCACCUCAAUAUCCAUAUCUCUGCAACAUGCAUCUUCUAGACAUGAGAGUUCUUGACUGGCCAACUCUCAUUUCCAUACAACAAUUUACAUACACACUCUAUAUAAAUACACACAUACAUAUAUUGGUGGAAAAAUCAUCAAUAGAUGAAACUUAAACAAUACUCUCUCUAUCUCAAUUAAUGUGACAAUUGGAUUUUAUCUUUUAAAUUGUUAAUUAUUGUGAUUUACCUUUUCACAUAAUUUUCAAAUAUAUAAAUUUUAUAUAAAAAAAUUUAAAGCUUCUGUAUCCGAAUUUACUGUCAAAUUAUAGAAGUUUGAAUCUCAAAAUUUCAACUAAUGCCACGUAAAUUAAAUCAACCCUAACACUCAAAAAAGCUACAAAUAAUUCAAACAUAGAAAGUAAAAAAGAAGUAGAAAAAACCUUGAUAUAUAUAUAUAUAUAAAUAAAUUAUAUAUUGAUUUGUAAUUGGUUGCUGUCACUUCUGAGCAAAAUCGUGCACACUCAAUGGAUGCUGUUACAAGUAAUAUUGGUGUACAAAUAACUACCAAAAACAAAGGGAAAAUGCCAAGAGUUGGGGUUGAUGCAUCGCGAGUUGGUUCAGGCCAAAAAAUAAUGGAUUCAGGACACAAACUAAUGGAUACAUCUGAUGUUGAAGAUGCUGAAGAUUCUGGACAGCAUGUUUUGCAAGUUGAAACCAAGAAUGCAACUAAAAAUUGGACACUAGUUGCACACAAAAAUUCAACUAGUAAUCGGAGCCUUUCCCGACUAAUCAAAAUAAUUCUCCAUGUAGUGAAAAGGGUGCGACUGAAAAUUUUCAUGACAGUGAGAAGAGGCAAGAUAUUAGUAAUGCCUCAAGAUACCUAUUUUGUUCGAAUAGCUUUGAUGCUUUAUCAAAGACUACUGGAAAGAAAGUAAAGUUAACAGAGAAUGACAACGAUUUGAUCUAAGAAAAGCAAGUCUCACCACCUACUUUGAAUAGCAAAUUAAGUCCAAAAGCUCCCAUAUUUGUGCCUAAAUGCGUGAUUGUAAAGAAGAAUGAGACAAGGGCCUUAGUGUCAGAUACAAUUGAUUUGAGCGAGGAUUCUCUUGAUGAAGAUGAGGAAGACAAUAUGCUUGAUUUGGGCGAGGAUUCUCUUGAUGAAGAUGAGGAAGAUAUGCUGGACAUAUGCUUUGACAGAGUGGCUAGGGAAGGAGAUAUAUCACCUCGGCAACAAAUAAGUAGAAGCAACAAAAGCAAAAAGAAGACACAUGGAAGGCAACAUAGUUGAGACGGUAAAAUGACUGAGGAGUUUGUUCCAAGGCACCUACCAAUGCGACAAGCAAAGCAGAACCAUUUGACAGUAUCAAUUGGUUCAACAAGAUCCAAUAAAUCCAUAAAGAAAGUAUGAAUUAUCAAGUGUUGUUGGAUAAGUUUGAAGAAGAAGACAACAGAAAAAUACUUUAAGUUACUUUUGAUGGGCAAUCAAUCUUUUUUAAUUCAUGCGUUUGUAAUUGAAAGUUUGAGGUUGAUAACUCAACUUUCUUCUUGAUUGACAUAUUUUUACAUUAUUUAAGCAUCCUAGUUUGUAAUAUCAUCAUGGAGUGUAUUACAAACUUUGUGGUGAUCAGAAAAUACUUAGUUCUCUCUAGCUCUUAUUUUCUUCAUGCUUGUUAGGUAGUAGACGUUAGGUACUUCAUUAGGAUUAGUACGGUAAGGCCUACCCCCUUGCUUGCACUUAUCCCUAUUGAUUUUUUUUAUGUUUAAUAAAAGGCCACUAGACACUGUCUAGUGGUAAAUUUGCGGGAAAAAAAAACCUUGAGAUAAUAUGCCUUGCGAAUUUCCUCUUGAGAUGCUAAAAGACUUACAUCAAGAACAUCAUAAUACUCUGUCUCUUUAACCAUUUUCUUUUCUUUUUCCAAAAUCCCAAUUAACAAAAAACUACUCUUUUACCUCUUCCAAUACUCUGAUUACCUUUUUUUGCGCUUGUAAAAUUUUAAAGUAGGAGCGGAAAACCAUUUGACUGUAAGGAAAAGAAACAAGCCGUGUUGAGAAUUGAUUUAAAAUCUUUUGUUUAAGUUUACUGCUUAGGAUAAGUUUUACAGUAGGUUGAAUAAGUCUUUUACUAGAAUUGAAAUAGUCUUUAUUAGUUACUACUUUUCUGGUAGUAUUUAGUCAAGUGGCGUCUAUUAUCUUUCUGAGUUUGUUAGCCUAUAAAAGGCGUAGAGACUUCUAGUUAAUAAUCUCUCUUCUUCCUACAAGCCAAACAAAAAAAAUGAUGAGUGAUCCAAACAAUUUUAAGCUCAAACACAAUGUUAUAAGAAGGUAAGAUAAGAAAUAAUGUCACAAUAUUACAGGUAAAUCGUUUUCUUUUUCCUGUUUUUCAAUUUUUAUCACUAUAAUAUUAUGUAUGCCAAAUCUCUAAGAUGAGGCCUCAUCCAUUGGUAUGGUAUAGAAGUAGCGUUCAAUUUGCUCGACUGCAUUAUCCUCGCCCUGAGUCUCGUUUCCUCUCUUUAUUGGAACUAGGCUCUCCUUGUAAUUGAAAACCCAACAGCCAGCAAUGAAAAGGUCCAGCUGAAAUCCAAGAUCUGUAACUUGCCUUGUUUUAGGGUCAUAUAGCACCAGCUGUGAAGUUUCUGUGAUCUCGAAAACCAUCUUAUCGUUAUCCCAGAUGUUGAGAGGCCAAUGAGCAUCUAUAUGAGGUUGAAUAGUAAGAACUUUGGACCAAUUUCCCUCUUGUUUCAUUACCCACACAUUGUAUAUGGAUGUCAUUGGUUUGCCAGGGUCACCGGUUAACAUAGCAAGUAAGCCGCCAUGCAAUGUAAGUGUCCCCCAAUGUUCACUUGGAAUAUGUGGGACUUGUAUCUCCCCAAACUGUUCGCUGUCCAUGUCAAAAGAGCGAAUCGUGUAGAUAUCAUCAAGGCCCCUACAAAGCCAAUAAUAAACCCUGUUGAGAUAAGUGGCAUCAAGGGGUGCAGACAAGGUAGAACUGGGAGGGAAUUCAGGAGUAAGGUGUUUCCAUGAAUUGUUGCAUGAGGAAUAGACACAGGCAUAGACACGAUUAUUAGCACCUUGUCCCGG
RNAcentral lists this long non-coding RNA (47109 nucleotides) under Solanum tuberosum (potato). RNAcentral describes it as "long non-coding RNA (STUB_LNC005037)". The record is from RNAcentral. Lineage: Eukaryota; Viridiplantae; Streptophyta; Magnoliopsida; Solanales; Solanaceae.